Molecule: long non-coding RNA, 49670 nt
Filed under: Citrus maxima (pomelo)
Lineage: Eukaryota; Viridiplantae; Streptophyta; Magnoliopsida; Sapindales; Rutaceae
Description: long non-coding RNA (CMAX_LNC002287)
Rfam family: Plant small nucleolar RNA R71 (bases 42616-42722)
Source: RNAcentral
GUAGAGAAGGUAAAAAGGAAGUCUAUAUAAGGAGGGGAACGAGCUUUGUUUAUAGCACAAGUGAAACUCCACUUUAUUGAACGAUGGGGUCUCAAAUGGGCUGCCUCUUUGCCACUCUUUUGGUAGUAUCAGUCUCUCUUAGCUACUUGCCGUUAGAAGCCUCCGCAAACAAAUACUACUACACAUCUCCUCCCCCUCCCAAGUACAAGUCUCCACCACCACCCCCGCCACCGGUUCACAAUUCUCCACCACCACCCCCGGUUUACCUGCCCCCGCCACCUCCUCCACCAGUCUACGUGCCUGCUCCGGCACCAACUCCAAUUUUCCCUUCUCCGCCACCUCCUGUCCCCAAGUCCCCACCACCACCUCACCCUUACGUCUAUGCAUCUCCCCCUCCUCCUUACUACUACUAGAAAGCGGCCAUGAAUAGCUCAUGCUUUUAUGGUAAUCUCAUUUAUUUUUAAAACUGUACAUGUAAAGACUAGUAGUUCAGAAUUACAUUAAGCAUUUCAAUUUUAAGCACCGUGUUCUGUUUAAUUGCGUUCCUAUUGAUUAAGUGACAAAUAAAAGAGAUUGAUUAAUUUGUUCUUGUAGGAGAGGCGAAUGGUAUCCGAAUAAAGAAAGCAAGGGUUUGAUGGAAGGCUUACUUGGAGCAAGAUAGCGAUCAAUCGAGUUGCUGCGUUUUAUUCUCUUUUAUCUUUGUUUUUUAAGAAAAAUAAACUGCCACACGUAGAAACAGAAAAUUAAGUUCUUGUCAUUUUCAUGCAUAUGGAUUGUUGCUGUGUGUGUCAAUCAAAUCUCCGUUGUGUCAUUUGUAAUUUUCAACCUUUAUGCAUGCAAAUGCGAGACCUCUUACGUAUAAUAAAAUUAAUAUACUUCCCAAGAUGGUCUUAUCUUGCGUUGACUUUUUACGUUCCUUUGGUGAUGAUUUUGACGUUUGAAAUUGAUGACUAAUUGACUAUUGUUUUUGUAAACUCUGACAUGGAUUUUUCGUGCAACUACAGAGCGCAUUAACGAGAGACUUAUCCAUGAGGGUCCAUGCAGAUCAGUGUCUAAUUAACCAAUAAUUAAUAUAACUAAAAAAAUAUAGAGUUAACUAUUUUUAUGGGUCAGGCUCAAUUGCAGAUGUUCGUACAAAAUUUCUUGCUAAUGUAUACUUGAGUAUGAUAAUAAGUUUUUAAUCAUUAUUAAUAAUUCACUUGAUAAUAUUAAACAAAUUUUCAUAUCAAUUAAGUUACAAAAUUUCUGUGACAAAUUUCCGCGUACUGGAACCAUGCAAAAGGGCUUUAUUCAAACAAAACUGCAUAGCCGUUGGCAAUUAAAAUUAUUUAUCAAUUAAGUUAAGUAGUAAGAAUUGGAUUGUGGAUUCCAUUAAUUAUUUCAAGGAAAAUUUUAUAGAUAAUGCCGUAAUGAAAUUUACGGCAUCAAUACCAUGAUAAAUAUAAAUAUUGUAAAUUACAAAUAGAAUUAGUAAAUGUAAAGUAAAACCAGUAAAUUCAUAAAAGAUUAUUAAUUAUUUAAAAAAUUAACAUUGUUUCUACAUAAUUUUAGUGAAAAAUAUUUUAUUCAUUUACAAAAACAUUUCUUUAAUUAAACAAAAAAAUUCAUUAAUUAAGCAAAAAAAUUAUACUGAAAAAAAAGUGGAAUAAGUUUAAUUGAAUUGGUUAUCAUAAAUUCUAUAUUUAGUCUAGGACAUUUUUAUACAUUUUCUUCCCAUUUUCGAUAAUGAUAUCUAUUUGUUACACAUGUUAAUUAAGUGCAAUUAUUUAUCUUGAUGUGGAUCAAGUAAAAAAAUAUCAUAAAUAAGAUAUCAAUAAAAUUAGAUCUAAUUUUGAAUAUUAUGUAUACUUUAUGUAGUUUCAAACUUUUUACUUGUAUUUGGAGACCAUUUAAGGUUGUUGUUGAAGAAGUGUAGAAAGAUGUAAAAUAACUUCAUCUUACAACAACUAUGAAAGAUAUUAAAAUAAUAAUUUUUUCAAAAUCCGAUUUUGAGAAAAAAAUUCAUCCUUAAUUAAACAUCACAUGUAUUAUAGAAAUGCAAAACUACCAUUGUUAUAUUUAACUUAAAAAAUAAUAAAUAUAUAAGGUAAUAAACAUUAUAAAGAGUUUUUAUUUUAAAAUUGUAAACUUUUGUUUCUGACAAUAACUCUUAUAUUAAUUUAUUUAUUUUGCCUUUUAUUCAUAAGUUUUAUGCAUAAUUUACAAACUUUAAGUUUUAUUUUGCAUUUUAUGUUGAUUUGGUUUUUUUAUAUUAUACGUACAAGUUUUCUUUUUAUUUACCAGUAAUACAUCAAUUUAUCAGCUUGAUAGUAAUUUACUUAUUUUACCUUCCUUUUACAAUUCUUAUGUUUCAUUUCCAAAAUUUAUGUUUUAUUUUACAGUUGUUGAUGAUUUACUAGUUUUAUGUUAUGUUUGCAAGUUUUUGUUUUGUUUACUAGUAAUAGAUUAAUGGGUAAUUUUUAAUUGAGUCCUCAUUAGUUCUAGAAAAACAAUUCAGAGACCAGAAGUUUACUAAAUGAAUCAAUUAAAUUCUUUCAAGUACAAACUAAUGUCAUUCAAGUCCUUAACUUAAUUGGUCAGUUAAAAAUAUUAACAACGUUGAGGACAUUUUAGUAAAACAACAAUUGAGUCGUUUCUCAUUCUUUAUUUUUGACAGGUGGAAAUAGUUUAAAGUAAACUCACUUAACCUGAUUAAGUUAAGGAUCAGUUCUUUCAAAUGAAAAAAAAAAAAAAAAACCUACAGAAACUGCCAUAUUCUUCGUGUGGGAGGAGAGAUCGAGAGAACGUGGGAUGGUGCAAAAAAUGUUGUAUAAAUCUACUGUGAUUUUGACCAAAGCUUUGGUAGCAUUGAUUGAGUUCAAGUACUGGAGAGAACCUGAGUUUAAAGGUUAGUAACUCUAUUUUUUUAGUGAUUUUUGCAAGCAUUUUCUGAUAAAAAAUUUUCCGUAUUGAGUGAUCGUUGUGAAAAAUUAAGUUUUUCAAGUCUAUUUUACAAAAUGACAAACUAUGUUUAAUUAUUGGUGGAUUCUUUUUUUUGUUCAAUGUUGUAUUUUGUUAAUUUGUUGUUUUUAAUUUGCUCUUAAUGUAAUUGUUAGACCAAAUACACCAUUAUUAUACCUAUAUUCAUUUCAACAAUUUGGUAUCGUUAUAUUAAUAAGAUUGAAUUCAUUGUAUUUGCUUCUUUGUUCAUGUAAAAUUGAAUUCUAUGUAUUCUUAUGAGUGAUAAUUUUUCUAUCUAUUAGACUAAAUUCACUAUAUUCACUACUUUCUUUCUUUUUGCUGGGCUAUUUUUUCUUUUUAGUUUAUAUUUUUAUAUGUAUUAGAUUGAAUUUGCUUUUGUACGUUUUUUUAGCCGAAUUACAUGUAUAUUUCAUUUAGGUUGAGUUUUUUUUGUUGUUUGCUAAAUAAAAUUAUAUUGGUUUAUCCCCUUUUUAUGCAAUACUUUUUGUUUAAAAUUAAUACAGUUAGCCAUGUUACCUUUUUUUUCAGUUAAAAUUAAUGGGGUGAUGUAGGCGAUAGGAUAUAGGGAACCAGAGGAAUAUAAGAUUAUUAGGCUGUUUCUUGAAAUUCAAGAUGUCAUGGUUAAGCAUGGACACAGUGAAAUGGAUUUGAUUGAAAUUUUUGUUGUAUUGCCAUGGACUACAAGUGGCCAGAGGAAGCUAAUUUCAAACGAUAGUGAAUUGUAUUGGGUUUUCGAGGAGUUUUUUUUAAUCAAUAGUUGUCCUGUCAUUGAGUUUGAGGUGCACACUGGGUCAGGUGGUCAGUCAUUUCAUGAAAGUGUUGUAAUAGGACCUGAAAAUCCUGUCAAUAUUAAAAAUUAGUGUUGUAAUAGUGAUAAGUUUGAAAAUGUUGUGGCUAAAAAGGUCUGCCUAGAAUAAUUGGUACUUCUUUAUUUGCCUCAAAGUCCAACACUAUGAAAUCCACAAGGAAAAAGAAUUUAUCCACUUUAACCAGCACGUCUUCAAUCUUGCCUUCAGGAUAAGCAUGAGAUCUGGCAGCACAUUGCAAUGUCACUGUGGUUGGUUUGACUUCUCCAACUCCCAAUUGCUUGAAUUCUGAUAAUGUCAUAAGAUUGAUGCUUGCUCCCAAACCACAAAGUGUCUUGCCACUGUAUUUAGUCCCUAUGGAACAAUGAAUUGUGAAACUUCCUGGAUCCUUCAACUUCUGAGGCAUUUUACUCUGAAGCAUAUGGCUGCAUUCUUGUGUUAGACCAACUAUUUCAAAUUCUCCGAGCCUCAUUUUCCUUGCCAAUAUACAUUUCCAAAAACUUUACAUAAUUUGGCAUUUGUUCUAAUGCUUCCACAAAAGAAAUGUUGAUAUGCAGUUCUUUCCAUACUUCCAAGAAUUUACUGAACUGCAUGUCUUGCUUUCGCUUUUGAAAUCUUUGUGGGAAGGGUGGUGGAUGUGUAAAUUGUUGUACUGCAGCAGACUAUACAUAUUGCUUUUCUCUUGCUCUAUUAUGGUAUGUUAUUAUUGGUGUUGCAGCUUCUUCCUCAACAAGCAUUGAAUCAUGUUUUUUUGCAGUUGCUAUAACUUAGCAACUCUCACCAGUGUGCUGGAAAAUGGGUUGUUGUGUCUCUUCUUUAAUUUGAGUUUCCCCUUGGGUUGAAUUAGGUUCCACUCUUCUUUUUGGUACUUUAACAAGUAUAUGAACAUCCUUUCCAAACCUUAAGUUAAUCCCCUUACAAUGCUCUUUUCCUUCUCUCUUUCGAUCCUCUGUAUUGUUUAGUAAAUUGUCCUGAGGUAUGUUGCUCAAUUUUGUAGCAAGCUGUCCAAUCUUAUUCUCCAAGUUUCUUAAAAAUACAGCUUGGCUUUAGACCACUACUUCAAUCUUUACAAUAUACUCCUUAAUCAGAGUUUCAAUGGAACUAAAUUGAUCAUUACUGGUGUUUCUUUACCCUUCAAAUUUCUGGUGAAAAUCAGGUGGCUGAGCAAGUCUGUUCUGUCCACUGGAUGCUGCAGCAUGCUGAUUCUGAUUGCUCCUUUUAAAAUUUGGGUGAUGUCUCCAUCCUAGGUUAUAGGUGUUUGAAAAUGGAUUGCUUUGAUUUUGUUUAUUAAAAUUGCCCACAUAAUUGACGGAAGCUGAAUUCCUAGGACAAUUAUGAUAUAGAUGUCCCUCUCCAUAAUAAACACAAGAGACUUCAGCAAUUUGGUUAACUGUUGCCGGAGCAGUGGCCGUUGCUUUUACCAUAUUUGUCAAUGAGGUUACUUAGGCUGAUAAUGUUGUCAGUGCAUCCACAUUGUGUACUCCUGCUGCUCCUCUCACUGUGGCUUGUCUAGUUGAUGGCCAUUGAUAGUUAUCCUUUCUAAAAUUUCAUAAGCCUCAUUAUAUGAGUUAGACAAUAAAGCCCCUAGUUAUUGAGUUCAACCCAUUGUAGAAAGUUUCCAAUUGUAUGCAAUAAGGAAUACCAUGAUGAGGGCAUCUCCUGAGUAACCCCUUGAAUCUUUCUCAUGCAUCAUACAAGCUUUCAUCUUCAAGUUGAUGGAAAGAUGUGAUCUCAUUCUUCAACUUUGCAUUCUUUGUUGGUGGGAAAUAUUUCAUCAAAAGUUUGUCAGCCAAAUAAUUCCAUGUGGUGAUGGAGUCUGGUUGCAAAGAACUCCACUGUACCAACUAAAAUUGAUUUCACAAAACACAAUAAGCACCAAUCCCCGGCAACGGCGCAAAAAACUUGUUGUCGAUUUUCUAAUGCUAUUAGUGUCAAUGUGAAAAUGUACACAACAAGUAAUAUAACGAUAAGUAUUCACUCCACAAGGAUUAUUAUUAUAGGAAUUGCUACAGUAAUUCUAUCAGUGCCAUUCUUAUUAUAAAUUAGAAUUUAAACAAAUUAUUCAACUAAUGAACUAAGGCAGAUCUUAUUGGGCUAGUCGGCAAUGUGUUGCUUUAGGUCGUGUGGAAUAGUUGCGGGAGUGAUCUUGCAUGAUGUGUGGAGCUAUAACAGUGCUGAGCAUGGGCCAAUCUAUGGGCUCAUGGAACUAGCGAACCUAAUCUAGAAUUUCGAGGAAGAGUACUCUGGUUAGUACUCUAAAUUACCUUAUUAUAUUUUGCACAAACAGAGGCAUGUUAGUGAAAUAAUAUCUAAGCAACCCAAGAGGGGGGUGAAUUGGGUUUCUAAAAAUUAUGCAAUUCUUAAACAAAACUUAAUGCAAAUCUUAAACGAAUUUAAAGCAAUAAUACAUAAAUCAACCAAGGUAUAAAAAGAUAAGGGAAGAGAGAUUAAAACACAGAGAGUUUUACGUGGUUCGGCCAACCUUGCCUACAUCCACACCCCCAAGCACACCGAGCUUGGGCAUUCCACUAGUCAAGCCUUCAAGGCUUCAAGAACACUUACAAUUGACUUCUUAGGUGUCAAUCAACCUUUACAUCUAGAGAUUAUCCCCAAUCUCUUAACCCAAGUGUAUCCCAAUAUUUACAAUCACUCAAAAUAAAGAUUACAAAUUUAUUUUUCUCUCACACAAUUUUUUAAGAUUACAAAUCAACGCUUAAUGUGUGAAUAAAUGAACAAGAAUGAAUUUGAAGCUCAAUGAAUGUUGUAUUCUCGAUUAUAAGCUCAAUGAUAACGUUGUGAUAAGCUCUUGUUUGAAUUUGAUUGAUCUUAUUUAUAGUUGGAGUUGAAAAAUAGCCAUUGUUGACUUUUUCCCGAAAUUGGAUCGCCGUUAACCGUUAUCGGUUAACCGUUUUGACUGGUCCAAGUGACCGUUGAGCUGAAUUUCAAAUAAACGGUUGAUCUUUUGACACUAUCGGUUUGCUGUUAAUUUCCAUAAACCUGUAAAACAAAUUUAUGCUAUUCGUUCUUGCUAAACGGUUGAAGGUCAGCAUGGAAUGACAUUCUAGAAAUUAUUGGUUGGCCGUUUGAAGUUCACGGUUCACCGUUUACUUCUAGAAUCACAGUUUUAACCAAAUUUCGCAGGGAAUGCUUUUUCGGUUAAAGUUAACGAUUAUCCAUAUUUCAUGAACACAUUUAGAAAAAUCAUACGACUUUUGAGAAAUUGUUUAGUAAUGAAAACUCUAACAUUUUAAUCAAAUACAUUUAAAGUUUGUUAUCAUCAAAAUCAAUAUAAUGAACAUCUACAUGUUAACAGUUAGGCCUUGAUUAUUUUUUAAAUCUUAUAAGAUAUAGAGUGAUAAUAGUAACUCAAUUUUCAUAAAACGUGGAAAGAUCAGUCGCCAAAUUUAUAGAUGCCAUAGAAAAUCUAGAUUUUAGUAAGGAAUAUCAAGUUAUUUAUACAAUGAAAAUUGUUAAAACUCGAUUAAUUGCAAGGAAACACUUUUAGAGAGAUAUGGAGAGAAUAAACUUUGAAGAUAACAAUGAAAUACAUGACACAUUUAAGGAAGAAAAUAUAAUAGUAUUAAUAGAAUCUAUUUUAACCAGUCUUAAGAUAAUUCAAGAUUGAUGCAAAAUAAAUAACAGGACUCUAAACCGUCCAUAAUAAGUCUAUUGAUUAAUAAUAAUAAUAAUAGUGAUGUGAAAUUUUUUAUUCAGAAUGCUCAAUUUAGAUUAUAAUAUCUAUGUGAAAGCAUUGAUGGCAUGUACCUUGGUUAGGAAAAUAGAUUGGACACAUGGAUAUAUAUGUUGGAAGAACAAAUCUAGUUUAUAUCUCAAGAGAGAUAAUAAAUUAUAAAUGCCGGUGCUAUAGUAUAUUCAGAUUUUAUAAAUCUUUAUAAAUUUAAUAAUCAUUUAGAUCUUCAUAAAAUUAUAAUAAAACUUUAAAAAACUUUAAAAAUAUAUGUAGAAGAGAUGGAAGAAGAAAUCAUCCAGUUAUUCAAAAUCAAUUAAACAGAAAUAGAAGGUAAAAUCCUUGAAUUAUAUAAAUUAUACAAUUUCACAGAAAUUUUGCAUAUAUUGCAAAACGGUCCUUGUGGCACUAAUUAUGGGACUAGUGUAGCAUAAAUACUAAUAUUGCUUUUUAUUUUGUAAAUUAAUUGUUGCGUCAUAAUGUUUUUACAUACACAUUUUAUGUUUUAAAAUAUGAAUUUUUUUUUUUUGUAUUUAGGGAUAAUUUUACAAUUUCAUACUUUGUUCAAUUAUAUAUACAGGUCCUUAACGUGUUGGUUGAUGUUGAAUAUUCAAAGAUCCACAAGCUAUCAACGACAACGAAUCAAAUUAAACUAAUUAGUUAAUACAUAAUGACUGGGUUGUUUCCUAUGUUGUUAAUGAUGUAGGACGUUAUUUUAGGAUUUUAGAAUUGUAAUUUUUAGGUCUUCUGAUAUUUUCUUUUUUAAUUAAAGUUAGUGUCUUAGUUUUUUAUUUAUUUAUGUUAUAAUUAUAAUUUACUUUCUCUUUUUAAGUUAACUUAGGAAAAUAUAUUUACUGUAUUAUAAAUAAAGAGAUCUUGUUAUUACUUUAUAACUUCAACUUCAGUUAUUCAAUUAAAAACCCCUCUUUUAUAAUUUCAUUUUGUAUUAUUUAUUAAAAACCCCUCUUUUAAAGUUGUUUGAUUAGAGCAUCAUCCAGCCUUGCUUAACGCAGUAUUAAAAAUCCAUUUGAGUUUAAUCACACUUCGAUUAGAGCGUAACUUAAUUGCAUUGACUUGGUCCAGUACUUGAACGAUAUCUAGUGUUUUGCUUCCGCUAUGCCAAGGAGAAAAUUAAUUUCACCGUGAGAUAAGAGCAUUAAAAGGAAUUCAUAAGAAAUUUAAAUUAAAGCUAUAUAUGUUAAAUAUAUCGCUAGCUACUUGUUUUUGGAGGAAUUAAAACAAUUAAUAAGCUGCGAAGUGAAAAUGAAUAAAUAAAUGAAAUGAGGUUGAAAAUAAGUCUCGCCGCCUGGAUCCAAGGCCAAAACAUUCAUGAUAAGUUAGGUAAUUAAGUACAUGUUUUCAAGCUCUUCAUGAAGAAUAACGUUAUUGAAAUAAAUCACAAAGACUCCCUGCGCAAAUUAUUACAUUGAUUAAAAAAAAAAAGCCAUAUCUUUAACAGGAUCGUGACUCUCGGACUGUUAAUUACUUUAUUCCCUGCUUGGCCAACAGCUGGCCACUAAACAAAAUCAUAAAAAUUUUAAAUUUAGUCAAAUUGGUCCCACUUGAUGACAUCCUUUCCAUACAUAAAAUUGUUUAACGUCAAGGUUAAAUAUGAGAAGUUUGGUAGAGAAGGUAAAAAGGAAGUCUAUAUAAGGAGGGGAACGAGCUUUGUUUAUAGCACAAGUGAAACUCCACUUUAUUGAACGAUGGGGUCUCAAAUGGGCUGCCUCUUUGCCACUCUUUUGGUAGUAUCAGUCUCUCUUAGCUACUUGCCGUUAGAAGCCUCCGCAAACAAAUACUACUACACAUCUCCUCCCCCUCCCAAAUACAAGUCUCCACCACCACCCCCGCCACCGGUUCACAAUUCUCCACCACCACCCCCGGUUUACCUGCCCCCGCCACCUCCUCCACCAGUCUACGUGCCUGCUCCGGCACCAACUCCAAUUUUCCCUUCUCCGCCACCUCCUGUCCCCAAGUCCCCACCACCACCUCACCCUUACAUCUAUGCAUCUCCCCCUCCUCCUUACUACUACUAGAAAGUGGCCAUGAAUAGCUCAUGCUUUUAUGGUAAUCUCAUUUAUUUUUAAAACUGUACAUGUAAAGACUAGUAGUUCAGAAUUACAUUAAGCAUUUCAAUUUUAAGCACCGUGUUCUGUUUAAUUGCGUUCCUAUUGAUUAAGUGACAAAUAAAAGAGAUUGAUUAAUUUGUUCUUGUAGGAGAGGCGAAUGGUUUCCGAAUAAAGAAAGCAAGGGUUUGAUGGAAGGCUUACUUGGAGCAAGAGAGCGAUCAAUCGAGUUGCUGCGUUUUAUUCUCUUUUAUCUUUGUUUUUUAAGAAAAAUAAACUGCCACACGUAGAAACAGAAAAUUAAGUUCUUGUCAUUUUCAUGCAUAUGGAUUGUUGCUGUGUGUGUCAAUCAAAUCUCCGUUGUGUCAUUUGUAAUUUUCAACCUUUAUGCAUGCAAAUGCGAGACCUCUUACGUAUAAUAAAAUUAAUAUACUUCCAAAGAUGGUCUUAUCUUGCGUUGACUUUUUACGUUCCUUUGGUGAUGAUUUUGACGUUUGAAAUUGAUGACUAUUGUUUUUGUAAACUCUGACAUGGAUUUUUCGUGCAACUACAGAGCGCAUUAACGAGAGACUUAUCCAUGAGGGUCCAUGCAGAUCAGUGUCUAAUUAACCAAUAAUUAAUAUAACUUAAAAAAUAUAGAGUUAAUAAUUUUUAUGGGUCAUGCUCAAUUGCAGAUGUUCGUACAAAAUUUCUUGCUAAUGUAUACUUGAGUAUGAUAAUAAGUUUUAAUCAUUAUUAAUAAUUCACUUGAUAAUAUUAAACAAAUUUUCAUAUCAAUUAAGUUACAAAAUUUCUGUGACAAAUUUCCACGUACUGGAACCAUGCAAAAGGGCUUUAUUCAAGCAAAGCUGCAUAGCCGUUGGCAAUUAAAAUUAUUUAUCAAUUAAGUUAAGUAGUAAGAAUUGGAUUGUGGAUUCCAUUAAUUAUUUCAAGGAAAAUUUUAUAGAUAAUGCCGUAAUGAAAUUUACGGCAUCAAUAUCACGAUAAAUAUAAAUAUUGUAAAUUACAAAUAGAAUUAGUAAAUGUAAAGUAAAACCAGUAAAUUCAUAAAAGAUUAUUAAUUAUUUAAAAAAUUAACAUUGUGUUAUGUUUGCAAGUUUUUGUUUUGUUUACUAGUUUUAUGUUAUGUUUGCAAGUUUUUGUUUUGUUUACUAGUAAUAGAUUAAUGGGUAAUUUUUAAUUGAGUCCUCAUUAGUUCUAGAAAAACAAUUCAGAGACCAGAAGUUUACUAAAUGAAUCAAUUAAAUUCUUUCAAGUACAAACUAAUGUCAUUCAAGUCCUUAACUUAAUUGGUCAGUUAAAAAUAUUAACAACGUCGAGGACAUUUUAGUAAAACAACAAUUGAGUCGUUUCUCAUUCUUUAUUUUUGACAGGUGGAAAUAGUUUAAAGUAAACUCACUUAACCUGAUUAAGUUAAGGAUCAGUUCUUUCAAAUGAAAAAAAAAAAAAAAAAAAACCUACAGAAACUGCCAUAUUCUUCGUGUGGGAGGAGAGAUCGAGAGAACGUGGGAUGGUGCAAAAAAUGUUGUAUAAAUCUACUGUGAUUUUGACCAAAGCUUUGGUAGCAUUGAUUGAGUUCAAGUACUGGAGAGAACCUGAGUUUAAAGGUUAGUAACUCUAUUUUUUUAGUGAUUUCUGCAAGCAUUUUCUGAUAAAAAAUUUUCCGUAUUGAGUGAUCGUUGUGAAAAAUUAAGUUUUUCAAGUCUAUUUUACAAAAUGACAAACUAUGUUUAAUUAUUGGUGGAUUCUUUUUUUUGUUCAAUGUUGUAUUUUGUUAAUUUGUUGUUUUUAAUUUGCUCUUAAUGUAAUUGUUAGACCAAAUACACCAUUAUUAUACCUGUAUUCAUUUCAACAAUUUGGUAUCGUUAUAUUAAUAAGAUUGAAUUCAUUGUAUUUGCUUCUUUGUUCAUGUAAAAUUGAAUUCUAUGUAUUCUUAUGAGUGAUAAUUUUUCUAUCUAUUAGACUAAAUUCACUAUAUUCACGACUUUCUUUCUUUUUGCUGGGCUAUUUUUUCUUUUUAGUUUAUAUUUUUUAUAUGUAUUAGAUUGAAUUUGCUUUUGUACGUUUUUUUAGCCGAAUUACAUGUAUAUUUUAUUUAGGUUGAGUUUUUUUGUUGUUUGCUAAAUAAAAUUCUAUUGGUUUAUCAUUUUUUGAUGCAAUACUUUUUGUUUAAAAUUAAUGCAGGUAGCCAUGUUACCUUUUUUUCGGUUAAAAUUAAUUGGGUGAUGUAUGCGAUAUAGGGAACCAGAGGAAUAUAAGAUUAUUAGGUUGUUUCUUGAAAUUCAAGAUGUCAUGGUUGAGCAUGGACACAGUGAAAUGGAUUUGAUUGAAAUUUCUGUUGUAUUGCCAUGGACUACAAGUAGGCAGAGGAAGCUAAUUUCAAACGAUAGUGAAUUGUAUUGGGUUUUCGAGGAGUUUUUUUUUUUUUUUUAUCAAUAGUUGUCCUGUCAUUGAGUUUGAGGUGCACAUUGGGUCAGGUGGUCAGUCAUUUCAUGAAAGUGUUGUAAUAGGACCUGAAAAUCCUGUCAAUAUAGGUGUUAGUGUUAUAAUAGUGAUAAGUUUGAAAAUCCUGUGGCUAAAAAGGGUAUGCCUAGAAUAAUUGGUACUUCUUUAUUUGCCUCAAAGUUCAACACUAUGAAAUCCACCAAGAAAAAGAAUUUAUCCACUUUAACCAGCAAUCUUCAAUCUUGCCUUCAGGAUAAGCAUGAGAUCUGUCAGCACAUUGCAAUGACACUGUGGUUGGUCUGACUUCUCCAACUUCCAAUUGCUUGAAUUCUGAUAAUGUCAUAAGAUUGAUGGCUUGCUCUCAAAUCACAAAGUGUCUUGCCACUGUAUUUAGUUCCUAUGGAACAAGGAAUUGUGAAACUUCCUGGAUCCUUCAACUUCUGAGGCAUUUUACUCUGAAGCAUAUGGCUGCAUUCUUGUGUUAGAGCAACUAUUUCGAAUUCUCCAAGCCUCCACUACUAGAAAAACAGGCUACUAUGACAGAAUUUUUGUGAUAGAUAUCAGAAAAUUAGUCAUUUAUCACAAAAAUAUAACAUACAUGUGAUAGAAUUUUCAUAUAUCAACAAGGCAUGAUAGAUUUGUGAUAGUUUCUUUAUCUGUCACUUGUACAUGAUAGCAUAUUAAUAUAGUAAUGAAACGGUGAGUUUAAGAUUGGCCAAUUUGGGCAUUGAACGACACCGUGUCUUGAAGCCUUUAAAAAAAAUUCUAAGUGUUGGACACUCCUUUGAACUUCACAUAGAAAACCCUAAUUUCUACAUCCAAACUGAAUCACACAAAAAUACACCAUCACACUUGCCGCCAAUAAAUUGUUGUUGUUCGUCUUUGUCGUCAUCUUCAUCCCCACUCCACAGCUUGCUGGCUAUUCCCAUUUCCCUUUUAUAGCUUGAACAACUGAUCUUCUUCAAGUUCGAGCCACUGUUACUGACUUCUUUCGGGAGAGGUAAGUGAUUAAUUCUUUUUUUUUUUUGAAGAGACAACAAUCACCAUAAAUUUCUCAAAAUCCCUAAAAUUAUGCCAAAAAAAGGAAAAAAUAAAGCCGUUCCAUGGCCUUAAAGGACUGACUUCGAGUUCGUGGACUAACGUGCCAACGACUCCGCUUUAUGGCCUUCGUGGAACGAUUCCGUGACACGCGAGUGGCAGCGUGCUAUUUACGUGGAGUCGGAUCGGAGAAGAUUGUACUACGAGGAGUUGGCGAUGUGAGAAAGACAGCGAGUUAGCUACUACGUCUUCGACUUAGGGUAAAAUUUUGGCAGAAUUUGAACUGAAAUUUAGUGGGUUUUGAGUGGUAAGACGAGGUUUUGAGAGAGGAAAAGGAGUGUUUGGCUGGCGAGAAAGUGAGAGAAAGUUUUUGAGUGUGGAGUGAUGGCUUCUCUGUUUUUACUUCUUUAUUGUUCUUUAUUGAGUAGAUGGUGACGAUACAAACUUUUAACAUUGUUUACUUAAUUAAUUGGAUAACAAUCUUACAUGACUAUUUUGAUUUAUCAGAUAAAUCAGUUAGAGAAGAAUGGAGAUGUUGUUGCUCAGGCACGAGCAAUUACAGCAAUCUAGACACUCUGCCCCGUCUUUCUUUCAAUGUUGUUGGCACACUGAAUAAUUUCCUUAGUGACAAGUUAACCAAAUUUAGAGGUAUAUGUGAUUUUGAUUUGACUUACUCUUAAUGAAAUACAAUAAGGAUUUUUUCUGUUGUUUCUAGGCCUUUUGGAGAGUUCGGAUUGAAGCAACGUUUGCCUUAGCUAAUACAACAUCUAAGGUAUUGUUAUUAUUCUCACCUUUAUUUAUUAAAUAUAUUGAGCACAUGGUAGGUCCACCAAAAUGUAUGCAAAAUCUAUUCACCAGAGGUAUUCGCAUAAAGUGAAUUUUUGUGAGAGACUAUUCUUCAACUGUGAAAACUACUUUGGUAGUUCUCAAACCCAUUACAAUUGAUUGGUGCUUGUGUUUUUCUAUUAGAAAGAUAUCUUCUGUAAAAUCUUUGUGAACUACAUUUUUGGAAAUGCAAAUGCUUUGUGUGGUGGUGAUUGUGCUUAUUUGCUUGGUCUUCUAGCAUUUCAGUGAAAUGAUUUAUUUUGACUUGUGCUUAUGACUAACUUGUUGACAGAGAAACUAGGCCAUUUAUGGAUGCACUGAUAUGAAUCCUAUAAUUUUUCUCUUAAUUGACAUGUUGAACUUUUUGGAAGAUAUUUUUUUUUUAUUUGAUUUGUCACAUAUUGUGCUUUAUUAGUUGGAAAUGUUUUGGUUUGUGGACCAUGUUGCACUUACCAGUUCUCAAUAUUGAUAUAUGAUAUAUACACACUAUUGUACUGGAAAUUGAUUGAGUUGGUUUGCUCCAUCUGGUGAAAUUUUAUAAAAGUCGAAGGUUUGAUGAGAAUAUUGGACUCCCCAAGUGAGAAUCUAUCUAAGUUUGAAAUUGUUCUGAUAUCGUUGCUGCAGCACUUUGUUAACGUUUUUGUUUUCUGCUGAUCAUUCCAGGCCAAAUGAUAUCCGUGAUUUUUCAGAGUAUUUGUUCUUGAGGUAAUGCCUUGAGGUAAGGUAUGUAAUGAGUUGUGUGAAGUGGGAUGUGAUAAUAAUUUUGCCCUCGCUUCAUGUGAUGAAAUCCCACAUAAUUUGCCCUUGCUUUAUGUGAUGAAAUCUUUGGGUGGUUUGUUUAUUUAGUGUUUUUCUAUUUCUUUUUAUAUGCUAAUUUUCAUAGUUCUAGAGCAAGUCUUUCUCUAGUCAUUUUGAAAUACUUCCACAUGCUGCUUCUUAAGCCAAGAUUGUCUUGCCCUAAUGAACAAGUUAAAUGGAUUUGCGUUGCUUGGAGUCUCAGUGUAAUAUAUGUGUUUUAGAACUUAGAUUGAUAAACAAAUUUGAACAAAUACAGUGGAAUAAGAAUAAAGAGAAGAUUAAAAAAAAAAGAGUAGAAAUAAAGAAAAGGAUGGUGAAACUUUAGGAGAAUAGGGGAAUCAAGAGAAGAGGAUAGAAUUUUGAUGGAUUUUAUUUAAUUAUGUAACGGAGGUUUUGUGUUGUUAGAUGUUGUGCGUUAAUUAAUUUGUAAUCUUGGAAAAAUACUUUAUCAUGAAUUGGGUUAAUUGUAAGUGGUCAAUACACUAAUAUAUAUUCUUCUAGCACUCAUCUAAAUGUAAUAUGUGUUUCAGGUGAUGUUGGUGGCUCUUGGGAAUUUACUAUCAGUGUUCUUUUUACGAAUUAAUUGUUUUUCUAAUGAUGGGGUAGUGAUUGAAUAUUGUAGAGAAUUUAUGAGUUAUUCUUACGGAUUUGAUUCACCAUGUAUUUUGAUGAUACUAUUUGUUGGAAGUUUCAAGUAAUUGAAAUUUUUAGUAUAUGGUGAUAUUUGGUAUUUGAUAGUUUUUAUGAAUUUGAAUGUAAUUUUUAUUUCAGUUAAUUCAAAUUUUAAAAUGUGGGUUUUGUUAUUUCUAUUUCAAAAUUCUGGAAUUUAAAUAAUAUUAAUUAGUAUUAUUAUAAUUUCAAAAUUAAAAAUAAUAAUUUUAUUUUUUUAAACCUUAAAUCUCAUGACAGAGAAUGUGAAUCAUUAAUAUAUGAAAGAUUUUGAAAAAGCCCACCAAAUUCAAUAUAAUUUAAAUUACCUGCUAAAAUUUCCAAUUAAUUCUCAAAAGCCUUGCAAAACGACGUCGCUUGGUUCGUGACAUAUGCGUGAUAGAUAUACACUGUCACAGAAACAUGUGAUAGAUAAAAUGUUGUCAUAGAUUUAUGAAAGGGGCUACAAUGACAGAUGGAAACUCUGUCAUAAGAGGGGUCGGAUGACAGAUAUUCUCUGUCAUGAUAGCCCAUUUUUCUAGUAGUGCUCAUUUUCCUUGCCAAUAUACAUUUCCAAAACUUUACAUAAUUUGGCAUUUGUUCCAAUGCUUCCACAAAAGGAAUGUUGAUAUGCAGUUGUUUCAAUACUUCCACCACCUGUCCCCAAGUUCCCACCACCACCUCACCCUUGCGUCUAUGCAUCUCCCCCUCCUCCUUACUACUACUAGAAAGCGGCCAUGAAUAGCUCAUGCUUUUAUGGUAAUCUCAUUUAUUUUUAAAACUGUACAUGUAAAGACUAGUAGUUCAGAAUUACAUUAAGCAUCAAAUUUAAGCACCGUGUUCUAUUUAAUUGCGUUCCUAUUGAUUAAGUGACAAAUAAAAGAGAUUGAUUAAUUUGUUCUUGUAGGAGAGGCGAAUGGUAUCCGAAUAAAGAAAGCAAGGGUUUGAUGGAAGGCUUACUUGGAGCAAGAUAGCGAUCAAUCGAGUUGCUGCGUUUUAUUCUCUUUUAUCUUUGUUUUUUAAGAAAAAUAAACUGCCACACGUAGAAACAGAAAAGUUCUUGUCAUUUUCAUGCAUAUGGAUUGUUGCUGUGUGUUUCAAUCAAUUCUCUGGCGUGUCAUUUGUAAUUUUCAACCUUCAUGCAUGCAAAUGCGAGACCUCUUUCGUAUAAUAAAAUUAGGGGAUUGUCACUUUCCCCCUACAGUAAUUAACAUAUAUUAUUUAUUCUCUUACUAUUUUUAUAAUGGCCAAAAACCCACUGACAACAUAAGUUUACAAUAUUACCUUUAUUUUUAACUACUCUUUUAUUUACAUUUAUUAUAAAUUAAAUAAAUUACAUGAAUAGAAACUAAAUAAAAAAAUUAAGUAUUAAAAAUAAGAAAUAUAUGUUGAUAUGAGGAAAAAAAUUAAUAAUAAAAUUUUUUUCUUGUAAUUAUUUAUUUUGUGAACAUUUUCUUAUAACAUUUUGUAAUAUUUUAAAAUUAAAUGUAAAAAGUAUAGGCAAAAUAUUUUAUUAUUUAUCUUAUAAUAAAUUGUUAUUUGUCAUUCAAAUUUUCUUAUAAUAAUUUUUUUUAUCAUUUUAUAAUAACUUUCUUAUAUAUUUAUUAUAAGAAAAUUUUCACAAAAUAAAUAAGUACAAGAAAAAAAAUUUAUUAUUAAUUUUUUUCUCAUAUCAAAACAUAUAAUAAUUUUUUUCUCAUAUCAAAACAUAUAUUUCUUGUUUUUAAUUCCUAAUUUUUUAUUUGAUUUCUAUUCAUGUGAUUUAUUUAAUUUGUAAUAAAUAUAAAUAAAAGAGUAAUUGAAAAUAAAGGUAAUGUUGUACACUUAUGCUAUCAGGGGAAGUUUUGGCCAUUAUAAAAAUAGUAUGGGAAAAAUAGUAUAUGUUGAUUACUAUAGGAGGGAAAUUAGCAAUCUCCCAAUAAAAUUAAUAUACUUCCCAAGACCGUCUUAUCUUGCGUUGACUUUUUACGUUCCUUUGGUGAUGAUUUUGACGUUUGAAAUUGAUGACUAUUGUUUUUGUAAACUCUGCAUGGAUUUUUCGUGCAACUACAGAGCGCAUUAACGAGAGACUUAUUCAUGAGGGUCCAUGCAGAUCAGUGUCUAAUUAACGAAUAAUUAAUAUAACUUAAAAAAUAUAUAGUUAACAAUUUUUAUGGGUCAUGCUCAAUUGCAGAUGUUCGUACAAAAUUUCUUGCUAAUGUAUACUUGAGUAUGAUAAUAAGUUUUAAUCAUUAUUAAUAAUUCACUUGAUAAUAUUAAACAAAUUUUCAUAUCAAUUAAGUUACAAAAUUUCUAUGACAAAUUUCCACGUACUGGAACCAUGCAAAAGGGCUUUAUUCAAACAAAGCUGCAUAGCCGUUGGCAAUUAAAAUAAUUUAUCAAUUAAGUUAAGUAGUAAGAAUUUUAUUGUGGAUUCGAUUAAUUAUUUCAAGGAAAAUUCUAUCGAUAAUGCCGUAACGAAAAUUACACAUAAAAUUAGUAAAUGUAAAGUAAAACCAGUAAAUUCAUAAAAAAUUAUUAAUUAUUUAAAAAAUUAAUAUUGUUUUUACAUAAUUUUAGUGCAAAAUAUUUUAUUUAGUUACAAAAAAAAUUUCUUUAAUUAAACAAAAAAAUUAUACAGAAAAAAAGUGGAAUACGUUUUAUUGAAUUGGUUACCAUAAAUUCUGUAAUUAUUCUAGGACAUUUGUAUACAUUUUUUUCUCAUUUUCUAUAAUGACAUCUAUUUAUUACACAUGUUAAUUAAGCGCAAUUAUUUAUCUUGAUGUGGAUCAAGUAAAAAUAAAAGAAAAGAUAUAUCAAUCAAAUUAGAUAUAAUUUUGAAUACUAUGUAUACUUUAUGUAGUUUCAAACUUUUUACUUGUAUUUGGAGACCAUUUAAGAUUGUUGUUGAAGAAGUGUAGAAAGAUGUAAAAUAACGUCAUCUUACAACAAUUAUAAUGAUAUCUAUUUAUUACACAUGUUAAUUAAGCACAAUUAUUUAUCUUGAUGUGGAUCAAGUAAAAAUAAAAGAAAAGAUAUAUCAAUAAAAUUAGAUCUAAUUUUGAAUAGGGAGAUUGCCAAUUUUCCCCCUACAGUAAUCAACAUAUACCAUUUUCCCCCCUACUGUUUUUAUAAUGGCCAAAAACCCCCCUGAUAGCAUAAGUGUAUAUUAUUACUCUUAUUUUCAACUACUCUUUUAUUUAUAUUUGUUAUAAAUUAAAUAAAUCACAUGAAUAGAAACCAAAUAAAAAAUUAAGCAUUAAAAACAAGAAAUAUAUGUUUUGAUAUGAGAAAAAAAUUAAUAAUAAUUUUUUUCUUGUACUUAUUUAUUUUGUGAAAAUUUUCUUAUAAUAAAUAUAUAAGAAAGUUAUUAUAAAACGAUAAAACCAAUUAUUAUAAGAAAAUUUGAAUGACAAAUAAAAAUUUAUUAUAAUAUAAAUAAUAAAAUAUUUUGUCUAUACUUUUUACAUUUAAUUUUAAAAUAUUACAAAAUGUUUAUUAUAAGAAAAUGUUCACAAAAUAAAUAAUUACAAGAAAAAAAUUUUAUUAUUAAUUUUUUUUGCUCAUAUCAAAUCAUAUAGUUCUUAUUUUUAAUACUUAAUUUUUUUAUUUAUUUUCUAUUCAUGUAAUUUAUUUAAUUUAUAAUAAAUAUAAAUAAAAGAGUAGUUAAAAAUAAGGGUAAUAUUGUAAACUUACACUGUCAGGGGGUUUUUGGCCAUUAGAAAACAACAAGGGGGUAAAUGGUAUAUGUUAAUUACUGUAGAGGGGAAAGUGACAAUCCCCCUUUUGAAUAUUAUGUAUACCUUAUGUAGUUUCAAACUUUUUACUUGUAUUUGGAGACCAUUUAAAGUUGUUGUUGAAGAAGUGUAGAAAGAUGAAAAAUAACUUCAUCUUACAACAACUGUGAAAGAUAUUAAAAUAAUAUUUUUUCAAAAUCCAAUUUUUAGCAUAAAUUUCAUCCUUAAUUAAACAUCACAUGUAUUAUAUAAAUGAAAAACUAACAUUAUUCAAUUUAAAUUAAAAAAUAAUAAAUAUAUGAGGUAAUAAAUAUUAUAACGAGUUUUUAUUUUAAAAUUGUAAACUUUUGUUUCUGACAGUAACUCUUAUAUUAAUUUACUUAUUUUGCCUUUUAUUCAUAAGUUUUAUGCAUAAUCUACAAACUUUAUGUUUUAUUUUGCAUUUAAUGUUGAUUUACCUUUUUUAUAUUAUAUUUAUAAGUUUUCAUUUGAUUUACCAGUAAUACAUCAAUUUAUCAAUUUUAUAGUAAUUUACUUAUUUUACCUUCUUUUUACAAUUCUUAUGUUUCAUUUUCAAAAUUUAUGUUUUAUUUUACAGUUAUUGAUGAUUUACUAGUUUUAUAUUAUGUUUGCAAGUUUUUGUUUUAUUUACUAGUAAUAAAUUAAUGGGUAAUUUUUAAUUUAGUCCUCAUGUUUUCGAGAAAAAAAUUCAGAGACUAGAAAUUUACUAAAUGAAUCAAUUAAAUUAUUUCAAGCACAAACUAAUGUCAAUCAAGUCCUUAACUUAAUUGCUUAGUUAAAAAUAUUAACAACAUUGAGGAUAUUUUAGUAAAACAACAAUUGAGCCCUUCCUCAUUCUUUAUUUUUGACAUGUGGCAAUAGUUUAAAGUAAAUUCAAUUAACCUAAUUAAGUUAAGGAUCAGUUCUUGCAAACGAAAAAAAAAAAAAAACCUACAAAAACUGCCAUAAUCUUCGUGUGAGAGGAGAGAUCGAGAGAAUGUGGGAUGGUGCCAAAAAUGUUGUAUAAAUCUACUAUGAUUUUGACCAAAGCUUUGUUAGCAUUUGUUGAGUUCAAGUACUGGAGAGAACCUAAUUAUAAAGGUCAGUAACUCUAUUUUUUUAGUGAUUUUUGCAAGCGUUUUUUGAUAAAAUUGUUUCCAUAUUUAGUGAUCGUUGUGAAAAAUUAGGUUUUUCAAGUCUAUUUUUCUAAAUGACAAACUAUGUUUAAUUACUGGUGGUUUUUUUUUUAUUGAAUGUGGUAUUUUGUUAAUACAUUGUUUUUAAUUUGCUCUUCAUGUAAUUAUUAGACCAAAUACGCCAUAAUUAUAUUUGUAUUCAUUUCAACCAAUUGGUAUUGUUAUAUUAAUAAGAUUGAAUUCAUUGUAUUUGCUUCUUUGUUCAUGCAAAAAUUGAAUUCUAUGUGUUCUUAUGAGUGGUAAUUUUUCUAUAUAUUAGAAUAAAUUCACAAUAGUUGCUAAUUUCUUUCUUUUUGCUGGGUUAUUUUUUCUUUUUAGUUUUUAUUUUUUAUAUGUAUUAGAUUGAAUUUGCUUUUGUACUUUUUUUAGCCGAAUUACAUGUAUAUUUCAUUUAGGUUAAGUUUUUUUGUUCUUUGCUAAAUAAAAUUGUAUUGGUUUAUCCUUUUUUGUUGCAAUACUUUUUGUUUUAAAUUGAUGCAAGUAGCCAUGUUACCUUUUGUUUUUCAGUUAAAAUUAAUGGGGUGGUGUAUGAGAUAGGAUAUAGAGAACCAGAGGAAUAUAAGAUUAUUAGGUUGUUUCAUGAAAUUCAAGAAUUCAUGGUUAAGCAUGGACAUAAUGAAAUGGAUAUGAUUGAAAUUUCUAUUGUAUUGCCAUGGACUACAAGUAGGCAGAAAAAGCUAAUUUCAAACGAUAGUGAAUUGUAUUGGGUUUUUUAGGAGUUUUUUUUUUUAUCAAUAGUUGUCAUGUCAUUGAGUUUGAGGUGCACACUGGGUCAGGUGGUCAGUCAUGUCAUGAAAAUGUUGUAAUAGGAUCUGAAAAUCUUAUCAAUAUAGCGGUUGGGUGGGUAGUGAUAAGUUUGAAAAAUUUAGUGAGGAUGGCUUUAUCGGAGGGCUCUCAUCUAAUGAAGAGAAUGGUCUCUCACAUAUGUAUAAAUCCAUUGUUGAUAAUGAGUAGAAACCAAAUCCAAAUAGUUUAAUUAGUCUAAAAGUAGGAAAUACAUUUGAAUCUGUUGCAUUAUUAAGAGAGGUUAUAAUGAAGUAUGCAAUCGAAGAGGGUUUUUAGUUGAAUAGGAUUAAAAAUGAUGGUGUUAGGUAUUAUGUCAAUCUAAAAUGCACUUGGAAACUUAAUGCUUCAUCGAUGGUUGACGGGAUAACUUUUAAAAUUAGGUAUAUUAAAGGGAAACAUGAUUGUCAGAUUAAAUAAGUUAACAAAGAUGCAACAGCACAUUGGAUGAUGUACAUGUCAUAAUGAGAGAGCUAAAAGAUAAACAUAGGAUUGAAUGUGAUAAACAAGAACUAUGCAGGGCAAAAGAAAUUGCACUAAAAAACCUAGGUCUUGACCAUGUUGCUUGCUAUGGAAAGCUUUUGAAAUAUGCUCACAUUCUAAUGAAAAUGAGUAGAGGUGCUUGUGUCAAGCUAAAGUUGAUAGGCCAUUGUCAAAUAGCCUAGUUUUUCAAAGGUUUUUUUAUCAUUUCCCGCACUUAAAGUGGGGUACCUAACUGGGUGUAGACCUUUCAUAAGAUUGGAUGGGUGUCACUUGAAUGGGCCAUAUAGGGGAGUAUUGUUAUCUGUUGUUGCAUUAGAUGCUGACAGUAGAAUUUUGCCACUGGCUUUUUGCAUAUGUGAGGCAGAAAACUAUGAUAGUUGGGGUUAUUUUUUUUAUCUUUUUUGUAUGAAUUCAUUGGGGCCGAUGAUCAUAGACCUGUGACUAUUAUUAGUUAUAGACAAAAAGGUCUUUUAUGGCGACUAAAAAAAUAUUAGCCUAAUGCUAGCACUAGAUAUUGUGCUAGGCAUAUCUUUGCCAAUUGGAAGUGCAGGUUUCCUGGUUUGAAUGUGAUGGGGUUAUUCUGGAAAGCUUGUAGGGCUGCAAAUCAAUAUGACUUUGAGAGGGCAAUGAGUUAAAUUAGGGCUAAAGACCAAAAUUGUUGUUGCUUAAAGAUUGUGGGAAUAUGAGAUAUUUCCUUGGAAACCAGCAUUGGCUCUAAGUUAUUGCUUAAAGAUGUCAAACAUGUACCAUAUAUUCUUCUUAAUUUGAUCUCUACAGGCAAGCUUGAUGAUGAUGGUUAUACCAACUAAUUUGGUGAAGGAGUAUGUAAGCUCACCAAAGGCUCCUUAGUGUUAGUUAAAGAGAGGAAAGUAAACACCCUCUAUGUGUGAUAACUCUAUGAAACGAGAGUUAUUAUAGAAAUUCUAAACUUAAAUCAAUAUUACUUACAGAGUAAAUGAUGUGUUUCUAUUGUAUUUUUGUUACAUUGUGUAUAAACAUUCAUUUUAGUUUAGUCUUAAUAAAUUUUGCUUAAUUUAGAAUAAUUCGUGCUUAAAUUGUGUGCAUAAUUAUAGGUGUCUAGAAGCUCAUAUCUCAUGGAAGGAGUGUUGAUGCAAUAGGCUUGUAAAAAUGAGGAAGAACAUGGCUACAAAAGAAUUGAAACAAAUCUGGAAUAAUGUAGUGUUGUAGCCGUUCUUGUAGCAACCAUUGCUGUAGCAAUCCUGGAACAACGAUAGAGAAAAUUUAGCACGAGAUACUUGUAGAAUCAAGAUCUGCAAUUUCUUAAUUUGACUUAUGCGCGCCCUGGGCUUCUGUUUACCCUAGUUUUCAGUUAUAAAAAGAGCACGCAUCAUAUGGUAAAAGGGGCGGUGAAUUAACAGCAAAGAAAUCAAGAGGAAAAGAAUGAAAAAUCAGAAUUCAAGGGAGAACAAGUCUGCACCAGUGAAGAUAUUGGCAUAACUAUUUGGAUUCAAUUUUCAUCGUUCUUUACUUAUCCCUUUUCUUACUCUUUGAUUGAACCGAUGGAUUUCAUCGCUGAUACUUUGUUGUUUGUUUUUCUUUUCCAAAGUAUGAACUAAAUUUGAUUGUAAUUGAGUGACAAACAAUCUCAAUGGGUUCUUGACUGUUCUUAUGAGUUAUUAAAAGAUUGCUGUAGCAUUUUGCUGUAAUAGCUUAUAUUAGAAUUAUUAUUUCGGUUGACCUCCCAUUUAAUGGUUCAAGUUAAGAGAGAGCCACAAAAUGGCAUGUCUUAGUGGAAAUUAUUAGAGUAAUACUUGAUCUUAAUUUAAGUUUUCUGGAUUGAGUUUAACUUGAGCCCCAAAAGAGCCACACUUGAGUUAAGAUUUGUGAAGAACUAGAUAUAGGGAUUCACCUUAUAGGGUAGAGGGGGUGUAUGUUCAUAAUGCCAUACCUUAGGUGAAAUGACAACUGGUCAUUGUUAGAGUGCUUAAGGGUAUGAGAAGUCCAACAAGCGACAGCUGAGGAUGCAAAAUAAUUUUGCACUGUGCUGUUGGAAUUGCUGUAAUAACUGGUGUUUAUUUGAACAGAACAGUCAGCCCAUGAAUAGAGUUUGAUCAUUCAGCUACCUCAUUCUCAUUAAAUUCUUCUUUACGCAAUUCAUCUAAUUUACUUUAUUACUGCAUUUAUUUUAUUAAAAUUGUUAAUUUCGGUAGUAAUAAACUUUAAUUAGAUUUCUCUUUAGAUAAAAGAAAUUUGCACUGUCGUGAUUGCUAUAGCAUUUCUAGUAAUAUCAGUUCAUGUGGAGACGAUCUUGAAUAUUCAUCAUUUUAUUACUUGUUGUGUACACUUGCACAUGAUAUCAAUAGCAAUUGAGUUAAAUUAAAUAACAAGUUUUUGGCGCCGUUGCCGGAGAUUGAUUGUUUAUUUUUGAAGUGUGAAGUCAAUCUUGACAAAUGCCAACUUGAUCUAAUUCAUUCUAUUUAUUGACAGAUCAUGACUUGCAUGGGCAAAGGCAGAUCUGUUGAAUUUCAAUUUGAUCCUGAGAUUGAAAGGACUGUAAGGAGAUUGCGAAGAGAGUGAAGAAAUUCAAAAACUGUUUCAAAAAUGGAUAACUUGCAAGAUGUGGGAAACUUGGAUCCUCACGGGCCACUACAACCUGUCAAUGUUCAAGAGGGGCAAAUGGGCACGUUAAUCAAAGACAACCAAGCAACAACAAUAUCAUUUACAUGGAAGACGAUAGAGAUAGGGUUAUCAGAGAUUAUGUUGUGUUAACUCCUUAAGUUGUACAUCUUGGAAUAGUCAGACCUGAAGUGGAAGCCGCCAACUUUGAACUUAAACCGGUAAUGUUUCAAAUGCUACAAAUAGUGGGUCAAUUUAAUGGACUGUCAUCUGAAGAUCCUCAUCUCCAUCUUAAGUUUUUUUUGGAAGUAAGUAAUGCUUUUAAAACUGCUGGAACAACGCAUAAUGCUUUGAGACUGAGGCUUUUUCCUUACUCCUUAAGAGAUCGAGCAAGAGCAUGGUUGAAUUCCUUACCAUCUGAUUCCAUCACUACAUGGAAUGACUUGGCUGACAAAUUCUUAAUGAAAUAUUUUCCACCAACCAAGAAUGAAAAAUUGCAAAAUGAGAUCACCUCUUUUCAUCAACUUGAAGAUGAGAGCUUGUUUGAGGCUUGGGAGAGAUUUAAAGAGUUUCUCAGAAGAUGUCCUCAUCAUGGCAUUCCCUGUUGCAUACAGCUAGAAACCUUUUACAAUGGGUUGAAUCCAAGUACAAGAUUGAUUGUCGAUGCUUCAGCAAAUGGAGCCCUAUUAUCCAAAUCUUACACUGAAGCUUAUGAAAUUUUGGAGAGAAUUCCUAACAAUAACUACCAGUGGCCAUCAACUGAAAAACUGUAGCAAGAGAAGCAGCAGGGGUACAUAACAUAGAUGCAAUUACAGCACUGUCAGCUCAAGUAACAUCAUUGACUAACAUGGUAAAAGCCAUGACUUCUACUUCUACAGUAGUAAAGCAAGUUGCUGAACUAUCUUGUGUGUAUUGUGGUGAGGAGCAUGUAUUUGACAAACUGUCUAGGAAAUCCAGCAUCAGUAAACUAUGUGGGAAACUUCAACCGACAGCCCUAGAACAACCCAUAUUCAAGUACUUACAACCCUGGAUGGAAUCAACACCCAAAUUUCUCAUGGAGCAAUCAAAAUCAGCAUGCUUCAGCACCUAGUGGACAGAACAAACAUGCUCAUCCACUUGGUUUUCAUCAGCAAAAUUAAGAGCAAAAACACACUAGCCAUGAUCAAAUCACCUCAUUGGAAACACUUUUUAAGGAAUGUAUCGUAAAGAAUGAAGCAAUUGUGCAAAAUCAAGCUGUAUCUCUGAGAAACCUGAAAAACCAAAUUGGACAGUUUGCCACAGCAAUGAGUAGUAGAUCUUAGGGAAGUUUACCCAGCAAAACAGAAGAUCCAAGAAGAGAGGUAAAAAACAUUGUAAAGUAAUCAACUUAAGAUAUGGGAAGAAUGUUGAUAUUGCUGUUGAUGUGACUAAAAAGAGGUUGGAACUUAACUCCUCACAAGAACCACCUCAAGAUGAAAUGAUGUUACAGCAACCCAGCCACUAAGAUACUGGCACUAGUGGUCAAGCUACAGCAACCUUGGAAGAAAAUCACCCAAUACCUAUUGAAGAAGAUGUUGCAACACCAGUGGUGACAAAUUACAAUAAAUCAAAUGAGCAGAUAUUGGUACCUCUUGAAGUUGUACAACAAUUUAGGCAUCCACCUCCUUUCCCACAGAGAUUCCAGAAACAAAAACAAGACUAAUAGUUUAGCAAAUUCCUGAAAGUGCUGAAACAGUUACACAUCAACAUACCUUUUGUGGAAGCAUUAGAGCAAAUGCCUAAUUAUGUGAAAUUUCUAAAAGAUAUUUUAACAAGAAAAAGAAGGUUGGGAGAAUUUGAAACUGUUGCUUUAACACAGGAAUGCAGUCACAUGUUUCAGAGUAAGAUUCCUAAAAAAUUAAAGGAUCCAGGAAGCUUCACAAUAUCAUGUUCAAUUGGAACUAAGUACAAUGGCAGAGCACUCUGUGACUUGGAGCCAGCAUUAAUCUAAUGUCAUUAUCUCUAUUUAAGCAAUUAGGAGUAGACUUUGAGUCUGAUAAAGAGGUACCAAUUAUAUUUGGAAGACCUUUCCUGGCAACCAGGAAGACUCUGAUAGAUGUUCAGAAAUGAGAGCUAACCAUGAGGGUGAAUGACCAACAAGUCACCUUCAAUGUAUUAGAAGCUAUGAAGAGUCCUGAUGAGGCAGAAGAUUAUAAUUUUUUUAGUGUUGUGGACCUUGUUGUGGCAGACAGAAUAAAUAGAUGCUGCAGUAAAAAGGUUAUCAAAGCUGCCACCUUUGAAAGCUUUGAAGAAGAAAAUGUUACAGCAAACCAGAUAGAUUGGAUGGUAGAAAGGCAAUCUAAAAGACAUAGCAGAUUUAUCGAACCUCUAAAUCUUUCAAACAGGGACAUAAAGACAACUUUACCAUCUAUUGAAUCAACUCCUACUCUUGAAUUAAAAUUGUUACCUUCACAUUUGAAAUAUUCAUAUCUUGGUGAGAACAAUACACUUCCGGUAAUCAUUUCAUAUUCUUUAGAUGCAGAUCAAGAAAGAAGUCUGGUAUAUGUGCUUAGGAAAUAAAGAAAAACAAUUGGAUGGACUAUGACAGACAUUAAACGGAUCAGCCCAUCCAUAUGCAUACAUAAAAUUCUGUUAGAAGACUGCUAUAGCAAUUCAGUAGAGCAACAGAGAAGGCUAAACCCCAUUAUGAAGGAAGUUGUAAAGAAAUAAAUCAUCAAAUGGCUGGAUGUUGGGAUCAUAUACCUGAUAUCAGACAGUUCAUGGGUGAGCCCAGUACAAUGUGUUCCAAAGAAAUAAGGAAUAACAGUAAUAGAAAAUGAAAAGAAUGAACUUAUUCCUACAAGAACAAUGACUGGAUGAAGGGUAUGUAUGGAUUAUAAGAAGCUCGACAAAGCCACACGGAAGGAUCACUUCUACUUUCAUUUAUAGAUCAAAUGUUAGACAGAUUUGCUGGAAAAUAAUAUUAUUGUUUCCUAAAUGGGUAUUUAGGUUACAACCAAAUUGUUAUACCCCCAGAAGAUCAGGAAAAGACUACAUUCACCUGUCCUUAUGGAACUUUUGCCUUUAAAAGAAUGCCCUUUGGUCUGUGUAAUGCUCCAGCAACUUUCCAGAGAUGUAUGAUGUCUAUUUUCUCAGAUAUGGUGGAGCAAACAUUGGAAGCCUUCAUGGAUGAUUUCUCAGUUUUUGGAGAAACAUACACUGAUUGUUUACAUAACUUGGAAGAAGCUCUUAAAAAAUGUGAGAUGACUAACUUAGUACUCAAUUGGGAAAAAUGCCACUUCAUGGUGCAAGAAGGCAUAAUGUUGGGUCAUAGAGUGUCCAAGAAUGGCAUAGAGGUAGAUAAAGCAAAAAUAGAAGUGAUAGAUAAACUGCCACCUCCCACUUCAGUCAAGGGUAUUAUAAGUUUUUUGGGACAUGUUGAAUUCUACAGAAGAUUCAUAAAAGACUUCUCCAAAGUAGCUAAACCAUUAUGCUCACUACUAGAACAUGACAAGCCUUUUCAUUUUGAUAAAGACUGUCUUUAAGCUUUUAAAGAAUUGAAGAAAAUUUUGAUCAUUGCACCAAUGGUUAUAACACUAGAUUUGACUCUAUCUUUUGAGCUGAUGUGUGAUGCCAGUGACCACUCUGUUGGGGCAGUGCUGGGGCAGAGAAAGAAUAAGAUUUUCCACUCUAUAUACUAUGCCAGUAAAACUCUUGUUCAAGCUCAGAUUAAUUACACCACUACAGAAAAAGAGCUGCUAGUAGUAGUAUUUGAUUUCAAUAAGUUUAAAGCUUACUUGGUGGGUACUAAAGUGACAAUCUACACAGAUCAUGCAGCCAUCAAGCACUUAAUCUCAAAGAGAGAUGCCAAACCAAGAUUAAUAAGAUGGGUAUUAUUGCUUCAAGAGUUUGAUUUGGAAAUUAAGGAUAGAAAGGGGACUGAAAAUCAAGUAGCAAACCAUCUAUCGAGGCUGAAAGCAAAUACGAGCACAUUGACUAAACAAGACAUCACUGAAACAUUUCCUGAUGAACAACUGUUAGUGCUAUAACAUGCACAGAUGCUACAGCAACCGAGAUCUCCAUGGUAUGGAGAUUUUGCUAACUACUUAGUAAGUGGAUUGCUACCACCUGGGUUGAAUUUUCAGUAGAAAAAGAAAUUUCAUUUUCAGUAGAAAAAGAAAUUUCAUUUUCAGUAGAAAAAAAAUUUUCAUUUUCAGUAGAAAAAAAAUUUUCAUUUUCAGUAGAAAAAGAAAUUUUCAUUUUCAGUAGAAAAAGAAAUUUUUUCAUGAUGUUAAAAGCUACCAGUGGGAUGAUCCAUACUUGUAUAAGUUAUGCUUAGAUCAGGUAAUCCGAAGAUGUGUUUCAGAGGAAGCAAUUUCACAUAUACUGCAAUAUGGCCAUGCUGCAGCAUAUGAAGGACAUUUUGGUGGACAAAGAACAACUGCUAAAGUUCUACAAUCAGGUUAUUACUGGCUUUCUAUUUUUAAGGAUACUUAUGAGUUUGCUAAACGUUGUGACAGAUGCCAAAAGACAGGAAACAUAACUCAAAGACAUGAAAUGUCAUUAACAAACAUUCUGGAAGUGGAGAUUUUUUAUGUAUAGGGAAUAGACUUCAUGGGCCUUUUCCCACCAUCCUUUGAGAAUUUUUAUAUCCUGGUUGCUGUGGAUUAUGUCUCCAAGUGGGUAGAAGCUGCAGCAUUACCUAUCAACGAUGCAAGAGCAAUAGUGAAUUUUCUUCAGAAAAAUAUUUUUUCCAGGUUUGGCACUCCACGAGCAAUUAUUAGUGAUGAGGGUACUCAUUUCUGCAACAAAGCAUUUGCUGCAGCAAUGGCCAAAUAUAGAGUCAAACACAAAAUUGCGACAGCAUAUCACCCACAAUCCAAUGGCCAGGCAAAAGUAUCUAAUAGGGAAAUUAAGAAGAUUCUAGAAAAGGUAGUGAAUCCUUCAAGAAAGGAUUGGUCAUUGCGAUUACAUAAAUCUUUAUAGGCUUUCAGAACAGCAUAGAAGACACCACUUGGCAUGUCUCCCUACCAAAUUGUGUAUGGAGCACAAAGCAUAUUGGGCACUGAAGCAAUUAAAUUAGGAUAUACAUGCUGCAACAGAGCAGAGGAAACUUCAACUAUGUGAACUUGAUGAAUUACGGUUAUUCUCAUAUGAAAAUGCAAGAAUCUAUAAGGAGAGAACAAAACAAUGGCAUGACAAGCACAUCCAAUAAAGAAAAUUAAUCCCUGGUCAACUAGUUCUGCUCCAUAAUACUAGGUUAAGACUAUUUCCAGGAAAGCUGAAAUCUAGAUGGUCUGGACUUUUCAAGCUGCUCAGAAUUUACCCUCAUGGGGCUGUUGAACUCUUAGAUGGAAAGACAGGCCAAGAAUUCAAAGUUAAUGGGCACAGAGUUAAGCAUUACAUGCAUUCAGUUACAGAUUGUUCAAAUGAGGUCGUACUCCUUAGUAAACCGGCAUUGUGAGCAUUCAAGAAAGGUCACGUUGAAGGACCUUAAAUCAAACAUUGAAUGGGAGGCAACCCAUUGCUGAGGCAGUCAUUUCAAAUGAAGUGGAUCCUCCAUGUUUUUGUUGUAGUAUUUAUUUAUUUAUUAUUUUUCUUAGUUAGGAUUGUUUAAUUUUUAUCUUUUAUUGUUUUAUUUUAAAAAAAAACGAAACAUGCCAAGUCACGCAAUUCUUAGAGUUGGAUUCAAUACUGACAAUUGGUGUUGUAAUAUUAACAGGUUACAAAGGCAAGUUACUUGACAGCAACCAUCUGAGGAGAUUGUUGUGCAGAUUGCUAGAGCAUACAUUUUGUUGCUGCAACAACCAAUUUUAUUAUUACAGUAACUUAACUACGGAGCCUCACAUUUUACCGUUGGAGAUAACAUGUGACAGCUAGUUGGGUGAACUCAGAUAAAGAUUGGGGAAGAAUGCAUAAUCUCUUAAAUAACUGCAUCAAUAUCUCUUUCCUAUUUUUAUGGGAUAUGCUUAAUAAAUUCAAAAAUUCUUCCCUAAUUUAUCUCUUUUACCAAAUUUAUUUUAUUUAUUUUGCACCUAUAUAAGAGUUUCAUUGUGCAUGUUGACCUCUAACACUAUUUUCUUUUCCCUUCACAGUCACAACCCCUCUAUUUUAUAACCUCUGCUCUUCGUUUCACUCUUGAACAUAUUACCACAGUUAUCCUACUACUGCAGUAAUGCCAAGGUAUAAAAGGACAGCCAGCCGACUAAACGAUCUAUCACAAUUUUAAAGUUACCAUGCGGAAGAGAAGUAUGAAGAAUUUAUUGAACCGCGCAAGAUUUUGGAAGAAAAAGGGCUUCAGUUCCCACCUCAACCCUCUAGAAUUGUGCAAUCAUUAUACGAUGCUGCAGCAAAGCACGGGUGGCUGGAGUUUUGUAACCACCCCCGAGAUCCUGUGUUGGAGCUAUUUGCAGCACUUGGAGGACCACCUACACCAAUUUGUUGUAUAUAUAAAAGUACCCAUAACAAUUUCCCUGAUUCACUGCUACAACAGUACAAUUUUGGUACCUCCAUUAUAGAAGUCAGUGAAGAUGUUGCUGACACAGAUAAACAUGAGGAAGAAACAGCAGCAGAACAGCAAGCAGAUGCUGAUAUAGAUGCUGAUAACCAGUCAGACCAGCAUGAAGAAUAAUGUGUCCAGUCUACAAUUGAUAGUUCCCCGACAGAGGAGGAGGAAAAGCAUGAGAAAGAACUCGAAGAACCCUCAGCCAGGACCUUUUCCAAGUCCAGGAAAAAGCACAUCAUACGAGAAAAGGAAGAUGAACCUGCAGAGGAGCCUCCCAUUCCAUUCCUCUCUCGAAAGGGCAAAGAGAAAGUAAUUACCCCUCCUGCAUCUGACGAUGAAGCCGAGCACAUUGAUGCAGAAUUGGAAGUUGCAGCAGCCAGGGUUACUCGUACACCCAUCGAGACAAAGCAUAUGCUUGAUAUCAUUGCCGCAAUCAUGACUGAGGGGUAUACAGUCGAAGACCCAACUCCAGCUCCCUCACGGCAAACCCCCAGCAAACCUAUUCUCGCUAGUCCUAAAGGACCCAGCAAAAGAAAGGGGGGCACUUCUGGAGGCAUUGCUGCAGUAGACACACCAGAGCCAAAGAGGACCAUAUCUGUUUUGUCCCAGCCAGCUGCACCCACUGCAACUCCUCCUACUAGCCCAUCGCAAAGAAAGAAAAAGUCAUUGCCAACUACCUCACCGCAAGAAUCUCCUAAAGACCGACUGCGGAGCGCCUCCAAAAAGCGGUGAAUUGGUUAUAAUUUAUUGCAGCAGUAUUUCUAGCACCAGGGGAGUACCACUACCCGCUAGUUUAUUUUACUUCUUCAUGCAACAACUUUUUCUUCAUUUAGUUUUAAUUUUCUGAUUUAUUUUGCAUGUCUUUUUAUUUAGUAUAUGCAUAUCUGGUUUAUAUGGUUUUGUUUUGUGUGCCUGUGAAGACACAACACCUUUCAAGUUUUGGGGGGUUGUGCUAUCAUAUAGUGUGUUAUUGAGUGCAUUGCAUGUGUUGUGGUGUUGUUUGUGAAGUGAAGCUCUGUAUCUACUGCUUAUGUAUGGAUUUGAAAGCCUAAUGAAGAUAAAUUGAGUGUUACUCAGUAUGUAUGAGAAUGCCCAGUAGGGAUAGUCAUAGAUGGAGAUUGAAAUUAUGUCCCGACACUUAGACUUUGGUUGAAAUUCAUGAGACUGCUGCAGCAAAAUCAAGAAAACUGCAAAGAGUAGAAAAUAUAUCAAGUUUAGGGGAAAUGUGUGUGUUGAGUUGUGCUUAUUAAAGUCUGUUCCAAUGGCUUAAAUGGUUGAGUAACUACGGCUGAGUAUGUACCCCAUAUGCAGACUUGAGUUAAAAAGCAACAAGAGUUAUGAGCAUUGUUGUAGCAAUUGAAAAAAAAAAGAAAAAAAAAAGAAGUCCUCUGUCUGAGAAAUUGAGUAGCCAUGUCUGUUAAUGAGCCCCAUGUUCAGCCUUGAGUUAAAGAUAUCUUUAGAUAAGACUAUGUUAUGACCAUUGCUAUAGCAACUCUGACAUGUACGUUGAGUAAGUAAUUGGGUGUCAUCAUUACAAGUGAUAGGCAUUCACAUGAAAGUUCAAUGUUGUAUUGAAGGGAGUGAAUAUAUAGAUAUAUAUAUAUAUAUAUAUAUUGUUUGUUGAAGCACAAUUUAUGUUUAUUUGUGAAUUAUGCUCUCCCAUAUAUGAAUAUAUUUGUGUUCUACCUUUGAAUUACAUGCAAUAUCUCUGUAAUGUUGUAGCAUCUCUGGACUUUGAUCAAAGUGGCACACACAUUUUGGACAGAAUGCAGCCUAAGUCUAGAACUGAACUGUUAUGGCUAUUUUGCAUGAUUAAGAGUGUGAUCUGAGGGUGGAAGAAUCCUUGCAACUUUGAUGAUAAAGCUGAGCUAUUUGUUGCAUGAUUGAGUGAUUGAAGUGUUAGCAUUGUUGUCAUUACUUAAAAACAAGUAAUGGUUUAAGUUUGGGGGUGUGAUAACUCUAUGAAAUGAGCGUUAUUAUGGUAAUGCUAGAAUUAAAUCAAUAUUUACUUAGAGAGUAAAUAAUGUGUUUCUAUUAUAUUUUUCUAUUGUAUUUAAUAAAUUUUACUUAGUUUAGAAUAAUUUGUGCUUAAAUUGUGUGCAUAAUUGUAGGUGUCCAGAAGCUCAUAUCUCAUGGAAGGAGUGCUGAUGCAAUAGGCUUGUAAAAAUGAGGAAGAACAUGGCUACAAAAGAAUUGAAACAAAUCUGGAACAAUGUAGUGUUGUAGCCGUUGCUGUAGCAACCAUUACUGUAGCAAUCCUGGAACAACGACAGAGAAAAUUUAGCGCGGGAUACUUGUAGAAUCGAGAUCUGCAGUUUUCUAAUCUGACUUAUGCGCGUCUUAGGCUUUUGUUUACCCUAAUUUUCAGUUAUAAAAAGAGCACGCAUCAUAUGGUAAAGGGGGCGGUGAAUUAACAUCGAAUAAAUAAAUCAAGAGGAAAAGAAGGAAAAAUCAGAAUUCAAGGGAGAGCAAGUUUGCACUAGUGAAGAGAUCGGCAGAACUAUUUGGAUUCAAUUUUCAUCAUUCUUUACUUGUCCCCUUUCUUACUCUUUGAUUGAACCGAUGUAUUUCAUGGCUGAUACUUUGUUGUUUGUUUUUCUUUUCCAAAGUAUGAACUAAAUUUGAUUGUAGUUGAGUGACAAAUAAUCGCAAUGGGUUUUUGACUAUUCUUAUGAGUUGCUGAAAAAUUGAUGUAGCAUUUUGCUCUAAUAGCUUAUAUUACAAUCAUUAUUUCGGUUGACUUCUCAUUUAAUGGUUAAAGUUAAAAGAAAGCCGUAAAAGGGCCUGUAUUAGUGGAAAUUAUUAGAGUAAUACUUGAUCUUAAUUUAAGUUUCCUAAAUUGAGUUUAACGUGAGUGCCAAAAUAGCCACACUUAAGUUAAGAUUUGUGAAGAACUAGAUAUAUGGAUUCAUCUUGUAGGGUAGAGGGGGUGUAUGUUCAUAAUGUCAUACCUUAGGUGAAAUAACAACUGGUCAUUGUUAGGGUGCUUAAGGGUAUGAGAAGUCCAACAAGAGACAGUUGAGGAUGCAAAAUAAUUAUGCCCAUGAAGAGAGUUUGAUCAUUCAGCUACCUCAUUCUCUUUAAAUUCUUCUUUACGCAAUUCAUCUAAUUUACUUUAUUACUGCAUUUAUUUUAUUAAAAUUGUUAAUUUCAGUAGUAAUCAACUUUAAUUAGAUUUCUCUUUAGAUAAAAGAAGUUUGCACUGUCGUGAUUGCUGUAGCAUUUCUAGUAACAUCAAUCCAUGUGGAGACGAUCUUGAAUAUUCAUCACUUUAUUACUUGUUGUGUACAUUUGCAUAUGACAUCAAUAACAAUUGAGUUAAAUUAACCAACAAUGUGUUAGAAGCCAAGAUUAAGAAAGAAGAUGUGAAUGUGGCUAUAAAAGAUUCUGACAUUGAGACAUGGUAUAAAAAGUUUGGUCACAUUGGUGAAAAAGGGUUAGAAACUCUUGCCAGAAAAAGAUUUCUACCCAGCUUCGUAGAUAUGUCCCUCAAGACUUUUGCUCAUUCCUUAGCUGGAAAGACACACAGAGUAGCUUUUAAAAGGUUUUCUCCAUCUAGAAAGUCGCAAAUCCUUGAUUUGAUUCACACUGAUUUUUGCAUGAUGUAAAGUAGAUCAAUUGGAGGUGCACUUUAUUUUGUUACUUUUAUUGAUGACUAUUCUACAAAGGUGUGGGCUUUUGCUUUGAAAUCUAAAGAUCAAGUGCUUGAUAUAUUUAAGUUCUUCCAUACUUAUUUUGAGAGAGAGACGAGAAGAAAAUUAAAAUGCGUCAGGGUAGAUAAUGGUGGUGAGUAUAAAAGGCCAUUUGACCAAUAUUGCAGAUCCCAUAGAAUUAGACUUGAGAAGACCGUACUAAAACCCCACUGUAGAAUGGUAUUGCAGAAAUGAUGAACAGAACAAUUGAAAAGAGAGUCAGGUGUAUGCCUUCUGAUGCCAAGCUUCAUAAAUCCUUCUGGGCAGAGACUAUGCGUUCUGCAGUUGACUGGAUUAAAUUUUUCUCCUUCAGCUCCAUUGAUGGUGAUGUACCUGAGAUAGUUUGGACUGAAAUAUAUGUUUAUUACAAACACUUGAGAGUGUUUGGUUACAGAAUAUAUGUUCACAUUCAUAAGGAUGAAAGAUCGAAGCUUGAUGACAAAGCUAAAAAAUGCAUUUUCUUAGGCUAUGGGCAUAAAGAAUUUGGGUACAGAUUAUGGGAUCCAGUGCCAAGAAAAUUGAUCAGAAGUAAACAUGUUGUGUUCCUCGAAGAUCAAAUAGUUAGUGAUGCAGAGAAUAGUGAUGAGUCUCAGUCAUCUCUAAAGAUUCCUAUUAUUCUAACUUUAGUUUCUUCAUCUAUAGUUCAUAAUGAUCAUGGAGGAGCUGGAGAGGAUAGUAAUGAUGGUCCAGCAGAACUAGUUGACCAAGCACCUCCAGAACCACCUGCACCAUCAAUGGAGCCUGAAUUGAGAAGAUUUACUAGAGAACGGUGACCUUCCACCAGAUAUCCUCCACAUGAGUAUAUGAUGCUUACAGAUGAAGGGGAGCCAUAAUGUUUUGAAGAAGCCAUGUUUCAAAUAACUCACAAUAACGAUACAAGGCUAGACUGGUUGAUGGGGUACCUAGCAACUUCUUGUUGUGUGGGCUGAUCAGACUUUACUUUCUUAGUUUCUGAUUCUUCUUAUGCUUGCAUUGUUACAGCAUAUACGGAGGGUUGUGCCUUUUUACGCUUGUUGGAUGCCCUAGGAGUUCUGCUAGGAGAUUUGAUGGGAGGUUGUUGAGUAAUGCUUACUGUAGUAGUUUCCCCAGAUGUGAUUUUAGCAAUAAUAUCAGGGAAACUCUUAUUUGCUUCAUCAGUUUUUGUAGCCCUGGUAUCAGCUGCUUUAAUUUCUGCAUCAAUAUCAUCUUGAUCAUUGUCUGAUUCUUCAUCAGUCAGAACUUUUUGUUUACCUUUACUUAGAAACACUGUAAUCGGGGGUUCAUCAUCCUGCCCAUCCUAUGUCUCAUCUUCGUAAACUUUUAUGAUGUGCUUCUUUUUACGUUUAGGAGGUACUACUGGAGGUGCCUCAUCCUUCUACGUUGCUGAUUCGUCUUCUGUACUAUAUUCCUCCUCUAUUUCUUCUUAUUAUUUUUCCUUCUUCUCUUUCUCUUCCUCUGCUGGUAGUGGGUCUUUUUCAGAUUCUAAUUCUUCUUCACUCUCUGCUGCUGCCUCAACUACUGGAGCAUCCCUUGUUAAUGUUUGGAAAUUAAACGGCUACAACAAGGAGUCAUGGAAAUCUUUGCUCUUUUUCUUCAUGUAGACUUCAAACUAAUGUCUAUGGUUUUCAAGGUGCAUUAAAUAAUUCCUGAAUCUUUGAUUUUGUUCUUUCCAUGCGUGUACACAUUCAUUAAUGGUGUCACUUAAUUCUUGCAGCUUCAUCUCAAUGCCAGUAACGUUCAUUGCUCUGGUCACAACAACAUACUCUGGUGUUGCUGUAGUAGUAGUUUCCCUAGCAAUUCUUUCAACAAUUCGAUCAGUAAGAGCUCAUUCAUUCUUAAUGCUUUCAUCUUUUGCUGAUAUUUUCACCCGAAAUACCAGACAAAUCCUAGUAAUGAGUGAGCGAAACAACAAAGCAGCAAUCUUGUGAUUUUUCAUGGCACACUCUAAUCUCCCUCUCUAUAAUUUUCCUCACAUCAAUUGGUAUACCCUUGAAAAUGGCAUAUAAUAGGUAAGAUUUUCAUGAGAUACGGUGGUGGUGUAUGUGGUGGGUAUCAAUCGAGAUUUUAGAAAUUUUACCCACACUUUGGCUACUGGUUUCAAAUCAAUUCUAUUCACUCCUCUGCCUUCCUCAUUCAACCAUGAACUACCCUCCACCAUAAGGAUUUCAAGCACAUCACUUCACUCCUUAGCAAUCAUAUUCUCAAUCAUUUUUGAAUACUCACAAUCAAUAUCAUAUGGUAAAUUAUAAAAAAGCAUUGAUUACCCUCGGAUCUAAAGGGACUUGAACAUUCCUUACCACUAUUGUGCAUUGGUCUUGCCGCAACAUGUUGGAGUAAAAUUCCUUAACGAUUGGGAGCACAAGGUCUCGUGGGUGAGUGUAAAAAUCUAGCCAUCUUUUCUUUGCUACAGCAACAUAGAUUGUGUUGAUUGUUCCUGAUGGUUGUUGAGGGAAUUGAAAAUCAUUUUCCUCUAAAAUCUUCUUAGGCUCUAUAAAUUCUUCAAAUUAUCCUCGGCUUUGUCACUAUGGAAGCGUGAGGGGUCCUUUAGUCGAGCAGUUGUCUUCUUGUACCACGUUAUUGCUAGAGCAACAAAACUGAGUUGUUGGGUACCUAAAAAAGAAAAAACUCAUGAAAGUGACUCUAAAGUAUGUGGAGAACUGUGGACUAGAAGAGAAAAAAUUUGGAUAAGAAUGAAAAGAAGCAUUGUGAAACCCUAAUUUAUAGGUCACGGUAAAAUAGAAAAAAAUAAUUAAUGAGGUAAAUUUAGAAAUUGUAUUUGAAAUUUAAAAUAAAUCCACAUUUACGUUCGGGAAUUUAGGGAUUAUGUAAUCCAUUCUUAUUUUUUAUCUUGAUUUCUUGAGCCAUCUAUCAAAAAUUUACUCCCAACGGUGCAAAAAUACUUUCCAUAGUUAUGUCACUAUAACGGUAAGAAUCAUUGCUACAACAAGUAAUAUAGUGCUGCAGCAACUGCGAUAAAGUCCCUAGUUUGAUGAGAACCAUUGUUCAACUGUCAUAUAAAGUGUAAUGCUGCAACAUCUUGUGUCAGUGUUUUAUCCAAAAAAAAUUCAUUAUUAUUUAUACAUGCCGUAAUAAAAUAAUAGACACAAAUAAAUUAGAUAAAAACUUCAAAAUAUCAACAACCGUAAAGAAAAACAUGAAAACUAAAUUUAAUGUUAAAGGAAAAAUUGAAAUAACUCCCUUAAUCAUUGGGUUGCCUCCCAAUUAGCACUUUAUUUAAGGUCUUUCAGUCUGACCCCCCUUAAUUGCUCAAACUGGAUUUAUGAGGCACAAAUCCUCCCUUGAAUGGUGAAAAUCAUCAUUAAUAUAGUGUUUCACCCGCUGCCCAUUUACUAUAAAUUCAAUGCUAGUUCUCUCAUCUUUGAGGUCCACAGCCCCAUGAGGAUGGAUUUUGAUAAGUCCAAAAGGCCCUGACCAUCUAGACUUUAACUUUCCUAAAAAAAAGCUUUGAUCUAGAGUUGUAGAGCAAAACUCAUUGACCUAGAAUUAAAUCCCUUUGCUGGAUGCGUUUAUCAUGCCAUUGUUUUGUUUUGUCUUUGCAAAUCCUUGCGUUAUCAUAAAAGAACUAUCUUAAUCUUUAAACUCACAAAGUUAAAACUUCCUAUGCUCUGCUGCAACAUGCAUGUCCAUGUUCAGUUGUUUUAGCGCCCAAAAUGCUUUAUGCUCUAGCUCCAGUGGCAAAUAGAAAGCUUUGCCAUAUAUAAUUUUAUAUGGUGACAUGCCAAGUAGUAUUUUGUAAGCUGUGCGAUAUGCCUGUAAGGAAUCAUGUAAUCUAAAAGACCAAUAUUUUCUAGUAGGGUUCACCACUUUUUCUAAAAUCCUUUUUAUUUCCUUGUUGGACACUUCUGGCUGACCAUUAGAUUGAGGGUGAUAUAUUGUAGCAACCUUGUGCUUAAUUCUAUAUUUGGCCAAUGCUGCAGCAAAUAUUCUGUUGCAAAAAUGAGUGCUUUCAUCACUGAUGAUGGCUCUAAGAGUCCCAAAUCUUGUGAAAAUGUUCUUUUAAAUGAAUCUCACCAUGGCUUUGGCAUCAUUUGUUGGUAGUGUUACAACUUCCGCCCAUUUGAACACAUAGUUUAUAGCAACUAAAAUGUAUAAAUCCCCAAAAGAGGGUGGGAAUGGACCCAUGAAAUCCAUCCCCCCAACAUCAAAUAGCUCAACUUCUAAAAUGUUGGUUAAUGGCACUUCAUGUUUUUUAGAGAUGUUCCUUGUUAUUUGGCACCUGUCACAACAUUUAACAAACUUAUAAGCAUCUUUAAAAAUAGAGGGCCAGUAAUAACCUGAUUGUAUAAUUUUUUUACUGCUGGUCUGUGGCCUCCAAAAUGGCCUCCAUAUGCUACAGCAUGACAUGAUUGCAGUAUGUUUGAAAUUUCUUCAUCAGAUACAUAUCUUCUAAUCAUAUAGCCUGAGCAUAUCUUGUACAAAUAAGGUUCAUCCAACUGAUAACUUCUAACAUCAUUAAGAAAUCUCUUCUUCUAUUGGUAACUUAGAUUAAGUGGUAACAAUCAGCUCACCAAGUAAUUAGCAAAAUCUACAUACCAUGGAAGCCCAGAUUAUUGUAGCAUAUGUGUAUGCUUUAGCAUUAACAAUUGCUCAUUAAGAAAUGUCUCUGUGAUCUCUUGCUUGAUUAGAGUGCUUUCAUCUGCUUCCAGCCUUGAAAGAUGAAAUUCUCCUUGGUUCUCAGUCCCUAUUCUUUGUUUAAUCUCGAAGUCAAAUUCUUGUAGCAAAAGGAUCCACCUUAUCAACCUUGGUUUGGCAUCUUUUUUUUAAAAUCAAAUACUUUAUGGCUAAGUAAUCUGUGUAAACAGUCACUUUGGUGCCAACCAAAUAAGCUCUAAAUUUGUCAAAUACAAAGACAAUUGCUAGUAACUCAUUUUUCAAUGGUAGUGUAAUUAAUCUGAGCAUCAGCUAAAGUUUUGUUAGCAUUAUAAAUAGAGUGAAAAAUUUUGUUCUUUCUUUGCCCUAACACUGCUCCAACAGAGUGGUCGCUGGCAUCAGAUAUCAACUUAAAAGGUAAGUUCCAAUCUGGUGUUAUAACAAUUGGUGCUGUAGCAAAAGCUUUCUUCAAUUCUAUAAAAGUCUUUAAACAAAGCUUACCAAAAUAGAAAGGCCUAUCAUGCUCCAGCAGCUAGCAUAAGAGUUUUGAUAAUUUAGAAAAUCCUUAAUGAAUGUUAUAUAGAAUUAUGCAUGUCCCAAGAAAUUCCUAAUGCCUUUAACUGAAGUAGGUGGUGGGAGUUUACUAUUUUGACCUUCUCCACUUAUAUUCCUUUUCUAGAGACUUUAUGGCUUAGGAUUAUCCCUUCUUGUACCAUAAAAUGACACGUUUCCUAAUUCAACACUGAAUUUAUCUCCUCACAUAUUUUAAGCAUAUUUUCUAGAUUAUGUAAACAAUCAUCAUAGAUCUCCCCAAAAAUCGAAAAGUCAUCCGUGAAUACCUCAAGCGUUUGCUCUACCAUAUUUCAAAAAAUAGACAUCAUACACCUCUGGAAUGUUGCUAAAGCAUUGCACAAACUAAAGGACAUCCUUCUUAAAUCCUUCUGAAAUAAGCAAAAGUUUCAUAAAGACAAGUGAAUAUUGUCUUCUCCUUAUCCUCUAGUGCUAUAGCAAUAUGGUUGUAGCCAGAAUACUCAUCCAAGAAACAGCAGUACUUUUUUCCAACAAGUAUGUCUAGCAUCUAAUCUAUGAAAGGCAACGGGAAGUGAUCAUUCCUUGUGGCGUUGUUUAGCUUCCUAUAGUUCAUGCAAACUCUUCAUACAGUUACUGUUUUGUGGGAAUAAGCUCAUUCUUCUCAUUUGUUGCAAUAGUCACUCCACCUUUCUUUGGAUCACAUUGUACUGGACUCACUCAGGAGCUGUCGGAUAUUGGGUAGAUGAUUCCAGCAUCAAGUCAUUUGAUAAUCUCUUUCUUGGUCAAUUUGGGUGAGUACUUGCUAGCAAUCCUCUAGCAAUUAAUUUGAAUUCUUAUAGCUAUUUGACAACUAUUAAUUUAUGUUUUUAUAUUUUCAUAUUAAAUAUAUUUAUUUAUUUAUUUUGAUAAAUUUUUAAAAAAUCAUUACUUAAAUUUAAUUAAUGAAAUAUUUUAAAAAAAUAUUAAAUUGAUAAAAUAAAAUUAUAAAUAAUAACUAUUUGAUGACAUUAAACAAGUUAAAAAGUUAAAGGGGUAAUUUUAAAAGCUUUGAUUUCCAAAAGAAGAAGAAUUUGAAUUCUUCAAUUCUUUGUAUAAAAUUCAAAUUCUAUAUUAGGAUGAAUAGUAAAUUCUAAUAAAAUUUAAAUUCUUAUAUAUUUUGUCCAACCAAACAAUUAAAAAAAAAAAUUCAAAUUACUUUCCUAUUCUCUAUCCUCACCUCCCAACCAAACACCAUCUAAACUCCUUAAUAUGCCACCCACAUAUUCAAACACCUUUGAGAAUCAAAGUAUCCCAGAUCUCCAGUAAGGAACCACCCAAAUUGAAAAGUAGUCUUAUUAGCCUCAGGAUUACCUUUAAUCAAAGUAUCCCAGAUCUUGCUAGCAAUCCUCUAGCAAGAUCUUGUACAUACAUAUGGAGGGGCUGAUUCAUUUGAUAUCUUUCAUGGUCUAUCUAAUGGCCUUCUUGUAUCUCCCCAACAUUUCCACUCAGCUCUUUACUUGAUCUGCAUUCAAAGAAGAUGAAAUGAUUACAUGUAGUGUGUUAUUAUCACCAAGAUAAACAUAUUUUAGAUGUGAAGGUAGAAGUUUUAAGUAUAAAACAUGAGGUAAUUCAAUAGAUGGUACAGCAGGUUUCACUUCCCCAUUUGAAAGAUCUAGAGACUCAAAAUGUCUGUUUGUCCUCACAGGUCGCUUCUCUCUUAACUAUGCUAUAUGCGUUGCUGCAGCAUCUUCAUCUUCAAGUUCUUCAAAUGUGGCGGCCUUGAUUUCUUCAUUGUUGCAGCAAUUAUUUAAGAUGUCUGUGACAGUAAGCUUCACAGCACCGACCAAAUCACAAUCUUCAACUUCAUCAAGACUCAUCAUUGCUUCCAAUACAUUAAAGGUAACUUACUGAUCAUUAACCCUCAUACUCAACUCUCAUUUUUUAACAUCAAUUAAAGUUUUUCCUGUGGCUAAAAAGGGUUUGCCUAGAAUAAUUUGUACUUCUUUAUCUGCUUCAAAGUCCAACACUAUGAAAUCCACUGGAAAAAUGAAUUUAUCCACUUUAAUCAAUACAUCUUCAAUUUUGCCUUCAGGAUAAGCAUGAGAUUUAUCAGCAAGUUGCAAUGUCACUGUGAUUGGUCUGACUUCUCCAACUCCCAAUUAUGUGAAUACUGAUAAUGGCAUAAGAUUAAUGCUUGCUCUCAAAUCACAAAGUGUCUUACUAUUGUAUUUAGUUCUUGUGGAACAAAGAAUUUUAAAACUUCCUGGAUCCUUUAACUUCUAAGGAAUUUUACUUUAAAGUAUAUGGUUCCAUUAUUGUCUUAAAGCAACUAUUUUGAAUUCUCCAAGCCUUUUUUUUCUUGCCAAUAUAUCUUUAAAAAACUUCACAUAAUUUGGCAUUUGUUCCAAUACGUCCACAAAAGAAAUUUUGAAAUGCAGUUGUUUUAAUACUUCCAAUAAUUUACUAAACUGCUUGUCAUGUUUUUACUUCUGAAAUCAUUACGGGAAGAUUUCCCCUUGGGUAUAAUUAGGUUAUGUUCUUCUUUUUGGUACUUUAACUAAAAUAUGAACAUCCUUUUCAGACCUUAAGUUAAUCACCUUGCAAUGCUCUUUUCUUUCUCUUCUUGGAUCCUCUGUAUUGCUUAGUAAAUUGCCCUAAGGUAUGUUGCUCAAUGCUGUAGCAAGCUGUCCAAUCUGAUUCUCCAAGUUUCUUAAAGAUAUGGCUUGACUUUGGACUACUACUUCAUUCUUCACAAUAUACUCCAUAAUUAGAGUUUCAAAGGAACUAAAUUGAUCAUUACUGGUGUUUAUUUUCCCUUAAAAUUGCUGAUGAAAUCCAAGUGGCUAAGCAGGUCUGUUAUGUCCAUUAGAUGUUGCAACAUGCUGAUUCUGAUUGCUCCAUGAAAAGUUUGGGUGCUGUCUCCAUUCAGGAUUAUAGAUGUUUGAAAAUGGAUUGGUUUGAUUUUGUCUAUUGAAAUUGCCCGCAUAAUUGACUAAGCUGGAUUUCCAGGACAACUAUCAUAUAGAUGUCCCUCUCCACAAUAAACACAAGAGACUUCAGCAACUUGGUUAGUUGUUGCUGGAGCAGUGGUCGUUGAUUUUACCAUAUUUGUUAAUGAGGUUACUUGGGCUGAUAAUGAUGUCAGUGCAUCCACAUUGUGUACUCCAGUUACUCCUCUUAUUGCGGCUUGUCUAAUUAAUGGCCAUUAAUAGUUAUUGUUGGCUAUCUUUUUCAAAAUUUCAUAAGCCUCAUUGUAUUACUUAGACAACAAGGCCCCUAGUGUUUGAGUUCAACCCAUUGUAGAUAGUUUCCAAUUGUACACAACAAGGAAUACCAUGAUGAAGGCAUCUCCUGGGUAACUCCUUGAAUCUUUCCCAUGCAUCAUACAAGCUUUCAUCUUCAAGUUGAUGGAAAGAUGUGAUCUCAUUCCUCAACUUUACAUUCUUUGUCGGUGGGAAAUAUUUCAUCAAAAAUUUGUCAGCCAAAUCAUUCCAUGUGGUGAUGGAGUCUAGUGGCAAAGAAUUCAACCAUGCCCUUGCUUGAUCUCUUAAAGAAUACGGGAAAAUUUUGAGUCUCAAUGCAUCUUGUGAUGCUCCAGCAAUUUUAAAAGCAUCACUUACCUCCAAGAAUAGUUUAAGGUGAAGAUGAAGAUCUUCUUAUGGCAAUUCAUUGAAUUGCCCCACUGUUUGUAAUAUCUAAAACAUCACUGGUUUGAGCUCGAAAUUGACAACUUGCAUUUCAGGUCUAACUAUUCCAGGAUGUAUAACUUGAGGGGUCAACACGGCAUAGUCUCUAAUGGCUCUGUCUCUAUCAUCUGUCAUGUAGAUAAUAUUGUUGUUCCCUGGUUGUCCCCAAAUAUUCUGCUCAUUAUGGCUUUCUUGGUCAUUAACUGGUUAUAUUUCUCUGUGAGGGUUCAAGUUCCUCAUAUCUUGCAAAUCGUCCAUUACUACAGCAGCUUUUGAAUGCUUAUUCUCUUUCCUCAAUCUCCUUACAAUUCUUUCAAUCUCUGGAUCAAAUUGGAAUUCAACAUGUUUGUAUUUGCGCAUGCAAGGGUUGGUAGAGCUCUUCUACAAACACAUUAAAAAAAAAGAAAAUUAAAAUCUUGCAUCAACUAAAAUUGAUUUCACAAAACACAAUAAGCACCAAUCCCCGGCAACGACGCUAAAAACUUAUUGUAGGUUUUCUAAUGCUAUUAGUGUCAAUGUGCAAGUGCACAUAACAAGUAAUAUAAUGAUAAAUAUUCUAGAUUGUCUCCACAAGGAUUAUUGUUAUAGGAAUUGCUACAACAAUUUUAUCAGUGCAAUUUUUAUUCUAAAUUAGAAUUAAAAUAAAUUAUUAAAUUAAUGAACUAAUUAAGAUAAAAAUGCAAUAAGAAAAAUACAAUAACAUAAAUUAUCACAGCAAAUAUAAGGAUGUAACCAAGGGGAAUGGAGUAGUUGAGUAAUUAAACUCACUUAAUGGUUUUGAUUAUUUUUCUAAUGUUUGGUUCGAUUACUACAACAUCUUCUACAGCACUGGGAAGAAUCCUUAUGUAUCCUCAAUUGUCGCAUGUUGGAUGUCUUAUACCUAAAAACAACUUAACAAUGACCAAUUGUUAUGCUAACAUUAGAUAUAGCAUUACACGUUUUAGAUUCGAAUUACCCUACAAGGUGAAUCCUUAUAUCUAGUUCAUCACUAAUUUUAGAUUACGCAUGACCUUUUUUUAAUCAGGUUAAACCCAAUUCAGGAAACCCAAUCUAAACCCAACUUAGGAAACCUAAUCUAAACCAAGUAUUGUUAUGAUAUGUUCCACUAAGACAGGUCUUUAUAGGCUCUAUCUUAGCUAAUAUCACUAAAUGGGUGGUCAGCCAAAAUAGUGAAUUGAAAUAAGUAUUAUUAAAACAACGUACUAUAGCAAACAUGCCCCAAUAUAGUAUAUCAGUCAAUUAACUAUCAAGUUUGCUCAUCGCUCAACCACGAGUAAAUUUAGUUCAUAAUUUGCAAUAAAACAAUAAUCAAAAUAGUUUUAGCCAUCAAAUAAUCCAUCAUAACAAGAUAAAAGUAAGAGAACAAAAAAUAAGAGUUGAGAUCUGUUUGAUGUUCUUCUAGAAUUCUUUGUUGCCGUCUUCGAUUCUCUCUCUUGAUAUUUGUUUUAUCUUGUUUUGUUUCUCUAUUGUUUCUCUCAAAUGACGGUCUCUCCUUUUUCUUUGCGUUUGUACUUCUUUUAUAUCUUAGCAUCAGGGCAACCGGAAGCCUAGGGUGCGCAUAUUCUAGUUUAGGAAACUCAAGAUCGCAAUCUUCCAAGUAUUAUAAGCGAAAUCUUUUCUGCCAUUGUUCCAGGAUUGCUACAGGAACAAUGCUACAGCAAUGGCUUCAGCACCUGCACUGUUCCAGAAUUGUUUCAAUUCUUAUAUAACCAUAUUCUUUCUUUAUCUUUGCAAGCCUAUUGCAGCAGCAUUCCUCCCUUGAAAUUUGAGCUUCCGGUCACCUAUAAUUAUAUUAUGAUCUAAGCACAAAAAUUAUUCUGAAACAAUGCAAUUUAUUAAAAUAAACUAUGGAUAUUCAUACAAAAUAUAACUAAAAUGCAAUAAAAAUAUGCCAUUUACUCUCUAAGUAAUCUUGAUUUAAGUCUAAAAAUGUCAUGAAAACUUUCAUUUCACAGAGUUAUCAGCAGCAAAAGGGUUAAUCCAACUAUUGAUUUAGAUCAAGUCUAUAAUGACAAUAACCCCUAACUAUUUGAGCUUAAAGCUCUUGCCAGCAAAUGGGCAAUUGGGAUGAAAGUCCUCUAUAAACAACUUGAAUAGAUAAGUAAAGAAAAAAAAAUGUGGCUUCACUAAGUCAAAACAAAACAUAUAAUCUAUUCAUUCAGUAAAAAAGAAAACAUUUUAGCCAAGCAAGCCAUCUUGAAAAAGAAAAAGGCAAUAUAUGAGAAUCUCGUGGAAUCCAACCUGCCAACACACAGUGGGAUAUGCAAGGUGCUUAAUCAUCAAUCAGAUUCUGGCUUUUGCUAUAAAAAAAAAAUCAAAAGAAUAAUCUAGUAAGGAAGACAUGCCGCUAGAUGAAGAGCUCAUAAUUAACACGUGACAGGAGGCCACUAAAAAGAUAAAGAUGCCAACUAGAAGCAUUAAUAUUUCAGAAAGAAUCCAAAGUAAAGGAUAAGACUUAUCGAAAUCCUUACCUCAACCAUGUGAAGACUAUCAACCAUUAGAAAAAGAAGACAAAAGUUGCCCUUAAUAAUGCAAGAAGAAGGGGUUACCUUAUCUCUGGGAAAUCUAUCAGGCAACAAGUGUCAUGUAAAAAGAUAUAAUCUUAUCUCUAAAAUCUAUAUGUGUAAGAAAGGAUUAUCUUAUCUAUCUAAAUCUAUAAAUAAAGUCACGUAAGAUAGAAGAGGUAUCACUCACGAGCAUUCUCUUAUUCUCAUCUGUAUUCUCUCUUUAAAUUCAAAAAUUAAAUAAAAAAAUUGUUUUUGAGUGAAAUUAUUAUCUUUAUAUAACUUAUUUAGAUUUUAGAAAAAAAAAAUCAAGAAUAUACAUGCCAACACUUGUGCUAAAUAAAGAAGAUUUCAUAUUACUAAGCACUCUUCUAUAUCAAUUACAACAGAUUCACUUAGGCAUAUCUUACUGGCUUAGUCUGCAAUGUGUUGCUUUAGGCCGUGUGGAAUAGUUGUGGGAUUGAUCUUGCAUGAUGUGUGGAGCUAUAACAGUGCUGAGCAUGGGCCAAUUUAUAGGCUCAUGGAACUAGCAAAAUUAUUCUAGAAUUUUGAGGAUUGUACUCUAGUUAGUACUCUAAAUUAUCUUAUUAUAUUUUGCACAAAUAAAUGAUAUAGAGUGAUAAUAGCAACUCAAUUUUCAUAAAACAUGGAAAGAUGAGUCGCCAAAUUUCUAGAUGCCAUAGAUAAUCUAGACUUUAGUAAGGAAUAUCAAGUUAUUUAUACAAUGAAAAUUGUUAAAUCUCGAUUAAUUGCAAGGAAGCACUUGUAGAGAGAUAUAGAGAGAAUAAACUAUUAGCCUAAAAGGGCUACACAUAUUGUAAUUUUGAUGAUAACAAACAUGUGUCUUAAGUGAUUUGAUAAAUAUUGUAUAUCACAUUUUCAUUAGUUCUUGAAAGAUAAUAUUUAUGAUGAAGUGAAUCACGAAAAAUCAAGCUCAAGACACUCAACGGACAACGGCGUGAUCAAGAAUAAAGUUUAGAGUUCAACGGAAUCAUUAUUGCGACAAUUCUUGUAAAGCCGGUAUGAUUUAAAAUAUGAAUGAUUUAGCAUUUAAAAAGCUCAAGAUUUUGUUUAAUAAAUCAUUAUUUUUUCAUAAAUCAAAAGUUUUACAAGUAUAAGCUAAGUAUUUUAUGAAAUUAGUUAUUUUUCAAGAUGUGGACUAAAAUGAAAAUUUUUUACAAUCUUUGAUUUUAAAAAGUAUUGUUUUGAAUUCCAGAGUUUGACUUAUUUGCAAACAUUUAAAACUUUUUAGGUCAUACUAUAAUUUAUGAACGUUUGAGGACCCGAAGUGAAAAUAUCCAAAAAUUUGAUAAAGAGUUAGCGGCUAAUCGCCUGAGGGCUAGCGGCUAGCUGCCUAAGGAAAAUCUCAUAUUUUCAAAUUUUGGACUAAAUUAAAAGAUUUUGAGAACUUUGAAAUUUAUAAGUAUUAUGUUAAAUUUUGAAAAAAAUUAUUAAACUUUGGACCAUAUCAUAAUUUCAAAAAGUUUUUAGAAUAACAAGUAUUAUUUUAAAAUUCAAAAGUUGGACCUGUUUGUAAAGUGUUAUAACGUUUUGGGCCAUAGUAUAAUUACAUAAAGUUUUGGGCACAAAUGUAACUUUAUUGUUCUGAAGCAACGAGCCGGAUAAAUUAAGUGGCUAGUCACUUGUUUGCUGGAAUUUACCCAUAACGGCUAAUUUUCAAGCUUUAUCUAUAAAAACUCAACUCCAACUUCAAUUUGGAGACUUUUGCAAGCAUAAACAAGUGCAUAAAAUAUAUAUUGAGCUUUUAUUUCGCAAAUCAUCUUAUAUUGAAUCAUCAUUGUGCUAUUAUUUGUAGAUCUACUCUAAAAGAGAGUUUUUUUUGUUGUAUUAUUCAUUUUUCUCAUCAAAUUUGUAAGUGUAUAAGUGUGAGAAACACUUAUGUGAAGAGAUUGAGAGAUAAUCUCUUGGUUGUAAAGGUUUAUUGACAUCUUGAAAGUCAAAUGUAAUGAACUUGAAGCCUUGGGAAACUUGAAUAGUGAAAUCCUUAAGGUUGGUUGGCUUGGAGGCAUGGACGUAGGCGGGGAUUGCGGAACCACGUAAAAAUUAUUGUGUUUGCUCUAUUUUCCCUUACUCUUCUAUUAUUGUACUUUAUUGAAUUUUUUAUUUUUUAUUUGAUUAAGACAAUAGAUUGAAUUGUUGUGCGAAUUGUUUAGCGUAAGUUUUAAAAUCUCAAUUCACCUCCCCCCCCCCUCUUGGAUUGCAUAACUUGCAUUUCAUAAACUUUAAAGAUAAUAAUUAAAUAUACGACAGCUUUAAGGAAGAAAAUAGAAUAGUAUUAAUAGAAUCUAUUUUAACCGGUCUUGAAAUAAUUCAAGACAGAUGCAAAAUAAAUAACAGGACUCUAAACCGUCCAUAAUAAGUCUAUUGAUGAAUAAAAACAAUAAUAGUGAUGUGAAUAUAUUCGGAUUUUAUAGAUUUUUAUGAAUUUGAUAACCAUUUAGAUCUUUAUAAAAUUAUAAUAAAACUUUAAAAAGCUUUAAAAAUAUAUGUAGAAAAGAUGGAAGAAGAAAUCAUCCAUUUAUUCAAAAUCAAUUAAACAAAAAUAAAAGGUAAAAUACUUGAGUUAUAUCAAUUAUACAAUUUCACAAAAAUUUUACAUAGAUUGCAAAAAGGUCCUUGUGGCACUACAGCAGGUUUCAUAAAUUUUUUACAUACAAAUUUUAUGUUUUAAAAUAUGAAUUUUUUUUUGUAUUUAAUACUUUGUUCAACUAUAUGUACAGGUCCUCAACGUGUUGGUUGAUGUUGAAUAUUCAAAGAUCCACAAGCUAUCAAUGACAACGACUCAAAUUAAACUAAUUCGUUAAUACAUAAUAACUGGGUUGUUUCCUAUGCUUGUUAAUGAUGUAGGACGUUGUUUUAGAAUUUUAGAAUUUUAAUUUUUUAGGUCUUCUGAUAUUUUCUUUUUUAAUUAAAGUUAGUGUCUUAGUCUUUUAUUUCUAUUGUAAUUAUGAUUUACUUUCCCUUUUUAAGUUAACUUAUAAAAGUAGAUUUACUCUAUUAUAAAUAAAGAGAUCUUGUUAUCGCUUUUAUAACUUCAACUUCAGUUAUUAAAUUAAAAACCCCUCUUUUAUAAUUUCCUUUGGUAUUAUCUAUUAAAAAUUCCUCUUUUAGAGUUGUUUGAUUAGAGUAUCAUUUAGCCUAUCUUAACACAGUAUUAAAAAUCCCAUUGAGUUUAAUCAUACUUCGAUUUGAGCGUAAUUAAUAGCAUUGAUUUGGUCCAGUACUUGAACGAUAUCUAGUGUUUUGCUUCUGCUACGCCCAAGGAGAAAAUGAAUUUCACCGUGAGAUAAGAGCAUUAAAAGGAAUUCAUAAGAAAUUUAAAUUAAAUUAGCUACGAAGUGAAAAUAAAUAAAUAAAUAAAUGAAUAUGAAGUUGAAAAUAAGUCUCGCCGCCUGGAUCCAAGGCCAAAACAUUCAUGAUAAGUUAGGUAAUUAAGUACAUGUUUUCAAGCUCUUCAUGAAGAAUAAUGUUAUUGAAAUAAAUCACAAAGACUCCCUGCGCAAAUUAUUACAUUGAUUAAAAAAAAAAUGCCAUAUCUUUAACAGGAUCGUGGCUCUCGGACUGUUAAUUACUUUAUUCCCUGCUUGGCCAACAGCUGGCCACUAAACAAAAUCAUAAAAAUUUUAAAUUUAGUCAAAUUGGUCCCACUUGAUGUCAUCCUUUUCAUACAUAAAAUUGUUUAACGUCAAGGUUAAAUAUGAGAAGUUUGGUAGAGACGGUAAAAAGGAAGUCUAUAUAAGGAGGGGAACGAGCUUUGUUUAUAGCACAAGUGAAACUCCACUUUAUUGAACGAUAGGGUCUCAAAUGGGCUGCCUCUUUGCCACUCUUUUGGUAGUAUCAGUCUCUCUUAGCUACUUGCCGUUAGAAGCCUCCGCAAACAAAUACUACUACACAUCUCCUCCCCCUCCCAAGUACAAGUCUCCACCCCCCCCGCCACCGGUUCACAAUUCUCCACCACCACCCCCGGUUUACAUGCCCCCGCCACCUCCUCCACCAGUCUACGUGCCUGCUCCGGCACCAACUCCAAUUUCCUAUUCCCCGCCACCUCCUGUCCCCAAGUCCCCACCACCACCUCACCCUUACGUCUAUGCAUCUCCCCCUCCUCCUUACUACUACUAGAAAGCGGCCAUGAAUAGCUCAUGCUUUUAUGGUAAUCUCAUUUAUUUUUAAAACU